This 54667-nucleotide long non-coding RNA is filed under the name Triticum aestivum (bread wheat). Its description in RNAcentral is "long non-coding RNA (TAES_LNC008053)". The stretch from base 9151 to 9275 matches the Rfam family "MIR1120/MIR1122 microRNA precursor family". Lineage: Eukaryota; Viridiplantae; Streptophyta; Magnoliopsida; Poales; Poaceae. The record is from RNAcentral.
UCCCUGCAUUUAUCUAUUUUAUAAGUAGUUAAUUCGCUGAUAGCCUUCUGUGCUUUUUAUAUCUAUUAGAGUUGGGGUGUGAUGGUUUAAAUAUGGCACAGUUGGAAGCAUGGUUGAACUUGUAAUGGUCGUAGGCUGUGGUCUGUUGCUACCUUCACUAUAUAUGUCUGUAAUGGCUCGUUUUCUUAAUGAGAUGAAGAACUGAAUCCUCUUGUUAUGUUUAUCAUGCUCUGCUGCUGAAUGAAGCCUGAGACGUUUUGCAGAGCUUGUUGUGCCUGCAUGAUCCUGGCUACAAAGAGAACCACUGCUUGUAUUUUUUUAGUGCUCCAGAGACCUUGCUUCUUUUCGAAUGUUAAGUUUAAAACUCGAAGUCAGUUGCCUGAUAGAUGAUGUUUUCUUUGCAAUUUGUGGCCCCACAUGUGUUUGUUUUAAUGUCCUGUUGUUUGUUCGUUCAUGCAUGGCGGCUCUGCGCAUUAGUUGUUUGUGCUAAUGCCAAGAGGUUGGGAUUAUGUUUGUUUUUUUGUGUUGUCUAAUUAACGCUCUUGUGUUUCUACUCUUUGGCUGCUGAGAUGUUCAUUUGGAUCAAGUAUUGCCGCUGAAGGUUUUUGUUCUCUGCCUUGCUCACAAACUUUUGUUUGGUCAAUUUGCACAAAUGUGGAUCAAAUUUGUAAGGGAGCUGAAACAAUGAAGUUACAGUCCUUGCUCUGUGUUGUACUGAACGCUGAGUUUUUUUUCUUUUACAUAUUGAUGUUUAAAUACAGUAGAAAAUGUGAUUGGCAAGAUAGUUAUACUUCAACAAUACUUCACCUGUUACCCAAUACUCCCUCCGUUCCUAAAUAUUUGUCUUUUUAGAGUUUCAAAUGGAUAUUUGUCUUUUUAGAGUUUCAAAUGGACUAUCACAUACUGAUGUACAUAGACAUAUUUUAAAGUGUAGAUUCAUUCAUUUUGCUCCGUAUGUAGUCACUUGUUGAAACCUCUAGAAAGACGAAUAUUUAGGGACGGAGGGAGUAAAAGAUAAUUUAGUCAGCAGUACUAUGUAGACUGGUUUAUUUUUUGUGCGUGACCCCUUCCUCAUCUCUAAAACAUGCAAUGUUCUCAGAUUUAUUUGCCUUUUUGCAUUGAGUUCAAAACUUGAACAUUUAGGAGGCAUUGACCAAUGUAGCAUGAGUACCGAAUACCUCUUCCUCGAGGUAUCUAACUUAUAAAGGAUGAAAGGGUUCGUAGUCACAACGAAGCCAGCCACGUCGCCUUUAAAUCGCUGCUGCCACCGCCUGUAAUUUUCGUUCCCCGCUGAGGGCAUUUUCGUCAUUUCGCAUCCGGGCGUAUAAAAGGGAGCAGCUCCUGUGGAGAAGACCUAGCUGCUCCUCCUCCCGCACUCGUGCGCCCCCUUUAUUCUUCCUCCCGCCUCACCUCUCUCCCCCCUCGACCCGCGACCCUCGUCCUGUCGCCGCCGGGACCCUCGUCCCUCUUGUCGCCGUCGCCUCCGCUGCCAAGUAGUGAGCGAGAGCAGCGAGAGGAACAACGAGCGAGCAGCCAAACCUUCAUGGCCUCCGCCCUCUCUCUUCCCCACCCCUCUCCCCUCACCACACAAGAGAAGAGAGGCAGGGAGUUGGACCGAUCAGGCGGCGGCCGGCCAUGGGACGGGAGGGCAGCGUUGGGCGAGCGAAAAGGAAAAGAAGCGAGCGACCGGAAGAAAAAAGACCUAGCCCGCGUCACCCCCCGUAACCCCCGCAGCCGCCUCCUCUCCUGUCGCCGCCGCCGCCUCGGCCUCGUCUCCACUGCGCCGCCUCCUCCUCUCCACUUCUCUCUACCACCGCAUGGCCGCCGCCGCCGCUCGCCUCUUUCUUCCCGUAGCUCCUGCAGGACGACGCCUCCCCAUCCUCCAUCAGCCGGGUCGGGCGAAGGUCGCCGGCAUCUUCGCGCUGCCACCUCUGCCCGUCCUCCUCUCUCGCCCAGCCACCACCGUUGCAAGGAGCAGGGAAGAUAGGAGACGACGACAAGAAGCAAUGGGUUGGUUGCGGUGGGCUUGAGCUGAGCAGGGGCCGGGUUAAGGUAGGUGUUGACGGCCUGGAUCCGUCGACGGGGGUCUGCCGGGCAUGGCGGCUGCUGGAAGGGCAGCAGCGGCCUGUGGGGAGUCGGCGGCACGGCAGCGACAUCUAUGGAGAAGAAUGGCCCAGCAGGCUCGUGUAGACAGGAGAUUCUCGGGGUGUUUGUCAAUUGGGCAGAUGGCGGCCAUCGGAGUUUCUUCAAUCGAUCUGGACAGGGCCACCACAGCGUACGCGAGGGCUGGAGGUGAGUGACCCUCUGGAGCCGCUUCCUCUCCCAGUUUUUUACUCCUUGAUUUUUAGAUCCUCUCCCAGUUUUUCACUACUUGAUUUUUAGAUUAUUUGAUAAUCUUAUUUGAUUUCUCAAUUUCUGGUUACCUAUGACGAGUAGAAGAAGAAUUUUGACAAAGGGUUUGAUGAAUAAGAACAGGUGAAUUCAAUUUGCCUUGAAUAUAGUCGCGUGUGUUCCCGCAUUUUGAUGUUUGAUUUUUUUUUCUGUGUAAGAGAGCAAAUGACAUGAUUUUGUACUCCUAUUACCUACUGACAGAAGAUACAUUUGUAAAUGAAGGUCUCAAUAAUGUUUGUUUUUACCUUGUGGUCUGAUAGACCAGUACAUACUGUUGGUCAUGUUAACAAAAGAUUUUGUCAUCCCUCUGUAUGAGCUGUAAUAAUAUUUACAUAUAUCUUUGACUGUGCAGAUUCAGAUUUUUCUCCUUCCUCGCCUCAUUGACAUGCUCUGCAUCUUCAGCUUGCAGGUUGUGGUCUUUCACUUCUCCUCUUGUUGGUUUGCUCUCUGGUUAAGCCAUGGAAGACACGCUUCGAUUACUUGGCUCCUCAAGGUAUGGUGCAUAUUGCCUCUGAUUUGCUUAUUUGAGUGUACUUUUAUACAGAAAAUUUCAUUUGCUUAUUUUCAAUUCUUUAGGGAUAUGAGAAGAGAGCUCUAUUGUUGGCAGUGGCUGCAUAAUUUCGACAAGUGAAUGGUUGAUCUUUGCUAUGUGGAUUGUGGACCGAUGGCAUAAUCUGUAUCUAAGGUUGGAGAUUCUGAAUUAGGUACGAGAAAGAUGACAGUCACUUUGUUUUCACUAUAUUAGUUUACUGAAUAUUUUUAAGGUUGGAACUGCAUGAUCAAAGUGACAAUAUAACUAAAUGUUCGAAGAAACUUAAGGCUAGACACCACAUUAAUUUCCUUUUUAAUUUGAAUUUAUAAGCAGACACCUGAAUUUAGCUUGAUACAGAUCCUAUGAUCCCUUGGAAGCCUAUAUUGUAAAAUUUGAGCAGUUCCCAUGACAGAAUUUAUAUUAGAACUUACUUUCUCUUUCCAAAUGCCCAUAUAUUUUGUUGCUCUAUAAUUCAACUUAUACGCAUUUAGCAGCGUAUCUUUAUCAUGUUAUCCAGUUCUUACCAUACCAUGUGGUAGCUAAAUGUGCUGAUCUACCCCUGCAGAAUUAGUACCGUUUUUCAGCUAUGUGUAAUUAAUCAGCUACUUCCAUUUUUUGAUGAUUAAUUUUUAAAUAAAGGUUCAGAGAAUGGCUUCUAUUGCCUUCCAGACCACCUGGUAAAGGAUGAAUAGGUGUUGGUUGCCAUCCAGAUCUCCGUCUUGGAUGCUGGGAGCAAUUCUCAAAUUGUUUGUGCAUGAAUUGACCGAUUCUCCUUUCUCUUGCAGAGUGUCUUGUUUAUCUGAGGUGGAUUCUUAUCUUCUUAUCCACAUGCUUGCUAAAUGUACAUUUUUCUUUCAUUUUAGCUAGAAAGCAAGCAGCCUUACACGAUUUAGAUAUCUUUUACAUGAACUUCUUAUGCAACCAGUAUGUUAUGAAUAUGCAAUGGCACACAUUGUUUCUUUAGUGAGAAAUUCCUGAACAUACUCUCUAUUGUGUUAUGGGAGUCUGAUGUACCAGCCCAUGUGGCUGAUUGUGUUAUGGGUGAUUUGCCCAAGCACCGUUAAGUUACAAAGUUUUGCUUUACUUCCAAAAAAAGGUCUGUUGAAACGUGCCUAUUGACCACCAAAAACCACUUUAUUUUUUGUGUAUGUUCGCCAUUUUAGUCCAAUUGUUGAUAUGCUGCCAACAACUUUUCCAUCCCCUCUUUCUUACUAUUUAGUUAUUUCCUCAGGCAAGUUGAUGGUUAUUUCUACUAUUGCUAAUUUAGUUUUGGUUCUAUCUGUGUGCAUGGCAUGCAGGCCUUCCCAGGAGAUGCAGUUCUGAAAUUUGUCACAGUUCUAUGGAUCUAUUAUUGUGAGAACCGAUGAUAUAUGGUGAGUUGUCUGACACCAUCAUUUCUCCUUUCUAGCGCUUGAGUUGACAAAUUUCAUGUAAUCAAAUGGAGUCCCUGCAUCUUAAGAUGUCAUCCAUUUAUCACAUGUAAUGUGUUGUUUCCCUUUUAUGCGCCAGAGUUCUUUCCUAUAUUCUGAGCAUCAAAGCCCUUUUAGAUUGUAUACUGGACAUGAUUUUAUCUACUUUAAUAUAUGCUUUAUGCGCGUCUGAAAGUGUCCACUAUGUUUAUUUGCUCCAUGAAUUUAACUGUUGUAUUUGCUAAGAAUAGUGUAAUUUUCUGGGUCACAAUUACCUUUAAACAUCAACUACGUUCUUAUUCCUAUCAACGAUCUAAGUAAAACAUGAAAAACCUGGGUUUUCCUUUGUCUCUGGCCAGUGUUAUAUACUUAUUCGAUACCUACUAUCCUCUAUAUAUACUUGUGUUUUCCCCCUCCAAUAUAGGUGCCUGGACUAUGACCUCUGCCUUUUGACGGUUGCUUUUCCUUUGCUACUAGGUAUUGUUCUUGUAUUCAAGAGUUUUGUUUCUACAAUUGCCUUUGACGUACCUACACAUCAAUCAUUUGCCAAAUUAAAACAAAUGACCUUCUCAAAACAUAUGCAUGCUUUCGACACCCUGAAGAGAUGUGUUUACUUUACCCGCAAACUUCUAUACACGGACUGUUUAAUGAAUUUUAAUGUGUGGUUGUGUGAUGUAUACUUCAGUAAAUAUUGCUUCUCCAAUUUACAAUAUUAUUAUGGGGAAAAUUUGACACAUAAAAAUGCACACAAGUUAUGAAUAUUUUUAGCUCAAUUGAUAAUUGUUCGUCAAAAGAGAUCACACAAUACCCCUUGCUCUGAAUUAUUUAGAUUGAAGCCAUACUCUGUGUAGACAUGCAGUUAUUUUUAAAGUAAAAGAAAAUAAUUAUUUACUGGUAGUAGGAUCACAGCGGCAAAUUACUGUGUCUCAGGUUUGAAAGCAGGUAGAAUAACGAGAAAGUUUGGAUACGUCAAUUUCUUUUUUCUUAUAUUUAAUUUCCUAAUGUAUGAUGGUGGAGUUGCAUCUCUUUACUGUCAUCGAGGAAAAGGAUGACCAAGCUCAGCAGUCCAAUCUUUGUCUUUGGCACUAGGAAAGUUGCCUAAAAGAUAUAUAAUGCCGGUCCAUGUAUUUAGUUGUUUGUGCCGCAGCCUGUGUGCUUCCAUUUGCUUUCUAACAUUAAUGGGGUACAUGUACAUGUACUAAGAACCGUUUGACUAUAUGUGACCAUCAAGAGAACUAAUAUUUCCUGUCAUCUAUUCAUUUCGGCCUUAUCAUCUCACUUUCGUUUGUUACAUCUUGUUCAAUAUCAUUGUUGUAUCAAUGCUACCCAUCUACCCUAUAUGCAUGUCGUAAUUCGUAAACCUUGACAAAAGCAAAGAACAUGCUUAAUCAAAAAAUUCAAUGAACAUAGGGUCCACUUGGCACUGAAUCUUAUAUUUACUAAUUGGAGGCACCUUUCAAGUCUUCUAAUUAAUCCACAUCAUCACAAUUAAUUAGACAGUUGGAUUAUAAAAUUAACGACCAAGAUAAGAAGAAAACUUGCGUAACACAGAUGGUUCCGGCUGUCCAAAAUAAUGGCAUAUGACACGGCCAAUGUGUUGAAACAAGAAAAAAAACAUCCAUCUGUUCCUUUAAAAAAAUGAUAGACUCCUUCCAUAACAACUCUCGAGGAUCUGUGAAACACAGUUUUACAUGCAGGAUCCAUGAAACUCUUCUGCCAAUUAAAGAAAGGAAAAACAGCGCUCCUUAAAGAAAACAUCCCAUCGCUCCUGUGCAUCUUUUCAGGCAACUUCCGCUUCUUUGGUCCAUUAAAACAACAUCUGACACGCGAAAAUUCUCUUCUGAGCCCGGUCUCAGCUGAUCUUGAAAUCAGAGUCGUCCAGAUACAUUAAGAUCCGAGCCAGGAGCUUUAUUCUCUUCUGUAUUUCCGUUGUACAGAGGGAGAAAAGAAAGCGGGCCUGCGUCAUUAAUUGCUGUGCGCGGCACGGCCGUUUGCCGGAUCAGGCUCGGUCGCACGGCCCGGUAAUAUUUCUGAGCCGUCUUGACGGCCCGACGACUUUUCAGCCAAGUCUCGUCUGCUGUGUGCUUAGGUGCUUUUUUUUAUGCAUGCAGAUAAAUCCGCCGUCUGCUGCUCGCAACCAUGCAGGCACAGGCACCCCUUUCUAAACAAUCUGUGUGAUGUUUACCCUGUAAGAAUUCCUAUAAAGAUGCCAAACCCGCGACACACAUUUCGCUAAUCAAAAUCACAAAGGCGUGUUACUGUUACCCACAUGCUGACCGAUGUGCUUCAUGUCGCGCAUAACAUGACGACAUCAAGUCAGUACUAAUCACCACAGCACACUAAGUACGAAACAGACGCACACACAGCAACUGCUGCUGUAGUGGCAACGACAGUGUUACCAUCUGCAAGGCACAAAGAAACUUACUGAGCCCGUCUAUGUUUGAUUGUUUCGGUGCAAACGUCCUCCUCAUCGGGUCCAUCAUGCAUCCGUGUCGUCGCCACCAAGGUUGCACACUGCGCUGGACUCGCUCCUAUCCGCCGAAAAUGCAGCAACCUCUGCGAACAAGGCAGUGUCAUUUGGAUCGUGCUUGCUGAACCUUCUUCCAGGGGAGGAGGGACCAUGAUCCAACUCCUCCAAGCAAGCGCGCAUUUUGAUCGUGCUUGCUGAACCCUUCUUGCCAACGCAUUCCUUACUCCAGCAGGAUUUGCCUCCAUCCAGAAGUCACCGGAACCAGCUGCCGGCGCCGCUGUGCACUACAAAACUCCGGCGAGAACACGGCACCUGUGAGGAAUGAGACCGAUUUGGUCGACAACCCUUGGGUCCCAGGCAUUAUGAUCUCCUAGCGGGCCCAGACUUCAACACGUGCCACCUGGACCGCAGACCUGUUCCGCGGCCCACAAUAGUUUUCACGUCCCGGGCCGUGGCGCAGAGCCUCGCUGUAACGGAAACACUCCCCGCCCUACAAAACUGGCCCACACCAAACGACGGUACACACUCGUAUCGCGGCCGUAUACAUUUUUAACGCGGGUUGCGUUCUGACGCAGCAGAGCGGUUUUUUCGCAUCCCAAGGUGCCUACGAUCGGCACAAAUUUCGGGCUCAUCUGAGCCCGAGCACCAAAACGCCUUGUCCACAUCUGACACGUCCAAUUUAAACAAUAAAAAAGGUAUCCAUCGUUUCUUUUAAAAAAGAGACAGCUGCCACUCAAACAAAAAAAAGGCAUCCUUACAUAACAGCUCAUCUAUGAAACUCUUCUUGCCAGCUAAAACAAGGAAAGGCAUCUGUGCCUAAAAAAAAGGGAAAACAUCUCCAUGGGCACCUGUACAUGGAUGGACCUUUCAAGCCUUCUCACUAAUCCACAUCAUCAAAACUAACUACACAAGUGAAUUGUAAUUGUAAGUCCAGGAUUUAGAAUACAUCGACACAACUUUAUUACGCAAGUUUUGGAGUCCUGGGCAGCCACAACUUACAAGUUGUAAAUUCUAGAGAAUUAGCUACAAUAAUAAUUCUUCGCAAAAAAAAGCUACAAUAAUAAUUGAAUCGUACGUCCAGAAUAAGAAUACAUAACCAUUAGAUUGUGAAUUUAAUGGUCAAGAUCUAUUAAAAGGCCUGCAUCUUUAAAGAAAACACCAUGAACAUAUCUGGGAUUAAACCCACACGUUCGUACAAAGAAAAAGAUGAGAGUCCUUCCCUUAAAAAAAGAUGAGAGUCCCCCACAUAAAGAAAAAGAUGAGAGCCAUGCCGUAUUACGACAGAAAAAAAAAACAUCAAUGCCCACGUCAAAGUUAAAAAAAAGUCCUGCCUUAUUACAACUCAAGAAAAAGGAGAGUCGUCCUUUAUUAAAACCCACAUGUACGUAAUGGAAAAAAUCCCCUAAAAAAGUGUUCUAACCACGUACCUAAAAUAAAAUUGAACAACUAAAAAAAAUCUCACGCCCAAAACAAAAGAAGUCCUCAAUAUGCACGUCAAAGUUCAUAGAAUCAGCACACGUGCCUUCUCUCUUUGCAAAAUAUUGACCCGUACAACUAAAAAAAUGCAUGCCCGCUAAAAAUAAUCACACAUCCCAAUUUAUCACUGGAAAAAACCAACUUGCAUAGCAAAACGACACGUACAAGUAAAGUGCUCUCAAGCCUAAUUUAAUAAAAUUUAAAUCUAUGCAUGAUUAAAAGAAGAAGAAAAAAACUCCAUCAUACAAAGAAAAAGACCUAGCCCAGAUAUCUCCCUAAUAGACCACCACCAUCAGUGUCAUAUAUUUUGAUAUUUGAAAUCGCCUAAUUUUAAGGCACGUAGAAAAAUAUACAUAAAUUGCCAUGCAUAAGAAAAUUUGAAUAUAAACAUGUUAAUAAAAAUCAACUGAAGGAAUAUCAUUGUUUUUUGUGCUAGGGAGUGGCAAGGUCGACUUCUGAUUAUCUAAAAUAGAGUUAUUCACCACCACAUCCAUUACAUUGUAAUAUUUGAGGGGUAAAAAUAUUUUUCAUGUAUUACAAGAUACUCUACUUUUAAUAUCAUGCUAGACCAACACAGUCUCAAUUAAGUAACGGAUGUGCGUUAAGUUAGGAGCACUACCUAACGCACUAAGAAGAAAUAUAUAUUAUGGAAAUGAUAUGGGUAGCAUUGUAGUAUGUAAGGAUGUGUUGUUACUUAAUGUAGAGUAUUAGAUUUCAGUUGUUUGUUGUAGUUUGUGUAAGGAUGUAAGGAUGCCUUGCUCAUUUCAGUAUUAGAUUUCAGUUGUUUGUUGUAGUUUGUUUUCUGGGUUUUGUAUCAAGCGAGAAUGAGCAAGGCUCGCUUCUGAUUGUUGUAUGCCAACCCAUGUUUUCUAUUUGUACUCCCUCCGUCCGAAAAUACUUGUCGGAGAAAUGGAUAAAAAUGGAUGUAUCUAGAAUUAAAAUAUGUCUAGAUACAUCCAUUUUUUCGACGAGUAUUUCCGGACAGAGGGAGUAGAUGGUUGUGUUUUUUCAGUUGGCCUACAUGUAAUAAUUAGUAAUUAAUGUCUGGAUUACUUUUGACCAAAUAUUUCGAAGGUUGCUUGUUCUUUUGUACGUAUCUAUGUUGGAUUAUCAAUGCAUGAUCUAAUUAUCGUUUUCUUCAUAUCGAUAUCCUAUUAAUUACUACUACAUCAAGGGACAUCUUCAUGUUGUUGGUUUUCUUAGAAAUCCACUUCAGUUUAGGGACGACAAUAGUUCUACCACGGAUGAUGUUGCAUGUAAGCUGGAUGUUCUCAUUGUUCUGUUGGCUCUGAUCGGGUGAGUUCUUCCUUAUUUCCUUUUUUGAUGCCUCCAUAUGCUCAACCUAUCAUGGUUUUAGUUGUAGUGUGAAUGUUUUACAGUUUAUAUAUAUUUCUGUGUUCUCUAGCAGUGUGGAUGCUAUGAAGUUAAGGUUCUUAAGAUGAAUGAUGUUUAUAGAAGGUAGAUAUAGUUUUGUCAUUCAUUCAUGAUCAUAUUUGGCCUCUCUUAGUGGACUGUCUAUGGUAAAUCUAAUAGUUGGUCUUGAUAGUGAUGCAGGAUGUGAGGUACAACUAUCAAAGUGACAUUAAUUUUGGUUUUGCUUCCUAUCCGCAGCCUCUUCUACACUAGGUGAGAAACUGGUUAAAAGAGUAAAUUUUAUUACUUUCCUAAAAGUAUCUUCCGAGAAACAUGAUUAUUAUGUUUAGUAGUGUUGCUUCGCUAUUCCAAAGGCACAUGGAAGUUUACAUAAAAAAAAUCUUACAGUUGUUUUUUUUGGAUCUUCAAAAAAGGAAAACACUCAACGAUCUGGCUCUGUCUCAGGUAUAUGCUCCCUCGCCCGCAAGAUCCGCUCUCUCCCAUCUACGCAUCACAGCAGCACCUCAGCUCCUCUUGUGGAUUCUCACCAGAUCAGGCUACCUCACUCACCUUCAGGUAAACCUUGAGCGACGACACAAUAUGUUUUCGCGAACUAAUCUUCUUUAGUCAACCUAUCGAUCCUUGUUGCGUGUGCUUCUUAAUCGACAUGUGAAUAAUCUGUUGAUGCAUGGAAAUACAUGCUGAUCUCCUAUUUUCUUGCUGCCUGCAAGAUAGUAUAUGCAUAAAUCCUGUUCAACUACAACAACCUGAAAGCCCUGUUAUUCUCAGAAAAAUUAUCAUCUACGGUUGUAUGCACAUGCCUCUUGAUAUUUACCAGCUCUCCUUUAAGAUUUCCUAACUAGCAUACAUAUCCUAGCUAGAACAUAAGAGUUCGAAUUUGUACAUGUUAACUGCACAUUAAGUUACUAUCAGCAUUGUUUAACAACACUGUUGAUUAUGACUCAGGUUUGUAAACAGUCAUCCAUACCAUAGGUACGUACGUUAAUGCAGAAGCACUACUAUUGAAUUAGAUGUAGUAACUGCGUCAUUCUAAAUAUUUUAGCAAGUUCAUGCGUUAACCGCUUAGGGUCCAUCGAUGAAACAAAACCAAUCAUAUGAAUUGAAGAAGCUACUGAAAUAAAAUGGAAAGAACAAAGAGAAAAUUGAAGGUUAUCUAUAUGAAAAUUCAGAGAAUGGGAUAGGAGAGGUGGUUCUUCCCAAUAGGAAAAAGAGUGGAGUAUAGUACUGUUAUCCUACCUUUUCUACUACAAUCCCAGUUAGCAUAAUAAUGUGACAUGGAAAAUCAUAUUACCGAUUCAAUUAUGAUUCAAGCAACAUGAACAAUUAUCCGUGAAAUUCACUUCUAAACCCUGGUUUUAUUUAGUUUUAACUUCAGGAUGGGCAUUUACUGUAUUGUAAUUGCCAGACUUCCAAAAUUCUACUAUUACCAUUGUUUAACAACACUCUUUUUGUCACGGGAAAAUAAUAGAUGGAUAAACGUCUCAAAUCAUACACUAUGAAGCUUCCAACACUUGCUUACAGUGUCUUUCUUGUGUAAUCAAUCUGUCGUGAUGGACAAAGUUAAGAUCCCAACAAAAAGUGCUUCUUGAUACUAUGAUGCAGCAACUUAACCUUCCAAAUUGCAGUUUACUAAACAAAAAGUGCUUCUUGAUGCUAUGAUACAGCUUCUUGAUGCUAUGAUGCAGAAACUUUAUGCUAUGGGCAAGUGAUUCAUGCUGCUCUUGGUUCUUCUGUACACUUGAAAUAAGGAACAAUAUUCCAAAGUAUGAUAGUGUUGUCCAUUACUUCAGUUUCAUCUUCUGAAGUUAUGUUCUGCUUUUCUACUUCUUUGCUCUGCUUUACACAAUUUACAUGGCUUUCGAGUCCUUUUAUUUAGGACCAGGGAAAAACCUCUAAUUGUUAACUUUGUAUUUUCCCACUCACUAGCGCAUAUCUUGCCUAAGCGCAGGCUUAAGCAAUGCAUUUUGUUCUAUCCUAGCGCCUAGGUUCUUACACCCUUUCCCCCUACUGAUUUAAGAGGUGUGGAGAUUUUUUAAGGUGGUGUUGCUCGCUUUGUUGUUUAGAUCACAGAAGAAGUAUGUACAAGUAUACAUCACCGAUGUUACUUGCUUGCAAUUACAGUGUAUUUUAAAACACACACUUGGCGAACAUCUGCUCGUGCUUACAAUUCUCUAUGAGGGAAAUAAUAGAUCAACACUUGCUUUUGUGCUCCUUUUGAACAGUUGUCAGGACCUCACCGGCAAAUCCCUCAGCUAUCAGGGAAAGCAGCCAUCAGCGGAGAUUGAGGGUGCCUCUCCGGCGAGAGUGCUUGUGUCGUAGUGGUUUCCCACCAGCAGCAUGGGGGAGGCGGUGUCCUCUGCAGCUAGGUCUACUUGCUGGCGACCUCACCGUCACCAGCCCAUCUGCAGGUAUGCUAGCUCCUCUUCUAUUAAUGCAAAAAGGAGAUGCUCAAAUGGAUUGAGUGGUACCCUCCUGAAAGUAUUGUAGGGAUGGACAUAUGGAUUGAUUGGUAGGCCCCUGAAAGCUACACAGAUCUGAACCAAUAACUUUAAUGAGAAUGUGUAUCCCAGCUCCUUUUAUAAUCUUGAAUCCUUCUCGGUCCUACUAAACUGUAACUCAUGUUUAUUUUUGGAAACAAUAUUUUGGACAUUCCUAACCUGGUCAAGGGAAUGUAUUUCCCACCUACAGUGAGAGACACAUACGAAGUAGGUCCUACUAAACACCUAAAAGGAUGAGUUACAGUAGGUGUGCAUAGAGUACUAACAUUUUUGCUAUCUUUAUGCUCCUCCAUAUGGAUGGGAACUAAAAGGAUGAUGAUAUUAGUCUACCUUUCAAUAUUUGGUGGCGCAUAUUUAAGAAAAUCACAGCUAAGCAUGUCACUUUCUAAAAAGACGCUUGACUGGAAUGUAUAUGUAUAUAGUUAAUAAAAUCAUAGUGACUGAUUGUCCAGUUCCUCUGUUUAGAUUAGAGGUGUCUGCAUGCAUCCAAGUGAUCAGUCUUUCCAGCUCAAAAGAGAAAGUGACCGAUGUUUUGGCAUAUUUUCCUAUUAGGAAUAAAUGGAUAUGCCCAUGCACGUAUGCACACAGAUUUCAGGUUACAGUUUAAUUAGGAAACAGAUGAUACCUCAUUGUGUCGUCUUGGUCUAAGAAGAGGGGAUAUACUUGGUGAAUAUAUAUGUUCCACCCGACCGUUAAUUUUAGAGAAAAGGACAUGCACUUCAGUAGCAAAAAUUUGAUUGUUAUGUACUAUCUGUAAUGCUAAGCAUUUAUUUGCUAAUAUCUCCUCAUCUGAAUUUGUAUUUUGUGCCAUUUGGCCUUUUAACUAUAUGGGCAUCUGCAGAUGGUCUGAAAACCAAGAUAUGCCACAGAUAAUAACUAUACGGGCUGCUCCAGAUGGACUAAGAAUGGAACCAUAUCCUAGGCCUACAUGCUAAUAUUGUACAACAAUGAAUAUCUUCACUUAUUUAUACUUAAUCAGCUGUGUAAUAAUAAGCGUGAUAUUAGCUUUCGUACCCAUCUUCAUGGUUGAAAUACUUUUCUGCAAUCUGUGACACAUUUGCUUCAGUUUCCAUAUGUCUUGCUUCAUGCUAUCAACAUUGUUAAUCAUUUAUCUUUAUCUUUCUUUCCCUUUACAGCCUACUUGAAUGGAUAUGGUUCCUGAGAGACCAUUUCUUAUGCAUCAGGUCCUGAAGGUGGAUGUUGCUUGUUUAGAUAUCUAUGAUUCCAAAUUAUUCAAAACGGUUCAUGUUAUACUGGAUGCUAUUUUAUUGAGAGUGGCUUCGAACAAUAUGGCAUGAACAUAUUUGUUCUUUGGCCAAUAAUGGAAUGAUCUUUGUGCAUAUAAAAUGGUUAUCGAUACCAUAAUUCUGUAAUACAAUCCACAUUGCAUCAUCUUUCCAUUUACGUCUCUUACUUAUUCACUACUAACAUUCCUUGUAAAUGGCUUCUUGCGCCAUUGGCGCAACCGGGUCAUCUAGUUUCAUAAACCAUCAGAAGGUACUCACUUUUGGAAACACAUACUAGUGGUUGGGGCCCGCCAUUGCGGGCCUCUUGAGAGGAAGAUAGGCGGUGCCAGGUAGGCACCCGCCCCUUCUGAUUCGUUAAUUUUCCUCAUUCUUAACUAAUGUAUACAUACGUGCGUGCUUCAUUCUCCUAUCAACUACUGGCAUACGUACUUGGUGCUUGACAGAGUGGUGCAUACUGUUUCAACAGCUUGCCCGGCUGCAUAAUAUUUAGUUUCCUGCCUUCCAAAGUCACAAAUUCCAGUGCCAGCAAGAAGAAAUGAAAGAGGUAAAUGAAGAGAGGAAGAGCAGACAAAAGACGUCAAGUUGAAGGACUGUACUUCUCAACCAAUGCUAUGAGGUUUUCAAGUUCUUCUUUUGAUCCACGAACAUCAAAGAAGUUGUCAACAAUGGUUCCGAGCACACCGUUUUUGACCCAAGAUAUGCCUUCUAGCGUGUUUGGUCGUGAAUUGGCAAUAGUAGUAUGAGAACCCUUUGGUUCAUCCAAGGAAUUAUUAUCAGUAUUCCCGGCACUGCUACGCGGGCCGCUGCGUCUUGAACGUGAAGAUGUAUAAUACCUGAAUCAAUAUCCUUGUCCUGGGGUGGUACUUGAAAAAUCAUUGGACUUGAGAUUUCCUGGCAUAUAAGCAACUCAACAGCAUGAAAAACACCUUCCCUCACAAACAUCUUCAAAAAUGUCCCAGGGAGCUUUUCCAUCGGAAUUUCAGCUAUCUGAAGAGCAGGAACCAACACGUGUGGGUCUUUCCAAGCUAAGAAGCUGCAAAGGUGAAUAUCAGGUUAGAUGGAACCAGAGGCCCACAAGUAUAUGUAUAACAGUACACAAGAAUGGCAUCUGAAGUUACGUAUUAGCAUCUGAAUAUGUUUGUUGUGCCAUGGAGAAUUUCAAUCAUUUCCUCUGAGCUGUAAUACAUUAAUUUAGCAAUGACAGAUAAGCACUUAUGAUGUAUUGGUCCAUUUACACGGGCCAUACACCUGCAAGGGAUAGAGCGUAUCCAAACAAUGUCUCAGAUAACAGGAUUUCAAUAAUGUUAUCGUCAGCAACCAACAUCAACUGAUACAUCAGCAAACCAAGGGACUGACCUGUGUCAUGUUAGGUAACAUAUCCAUGCGAAAUUGCUGGAGAAGUUCAGGCUGAUCACGUAGUAACUUCUCCCGGCAUACAAACAACGAGAAUAUUUUUGCAUCAUGGUAGUUCAGAAGAUUUGUUAGCAGAGGAACCGCUUCCAUUACAAAAUAUGAGGCGUCUGAAGGAAGCUUCCUACACAUAUUAGCAGUUGUAGAUAACGCCACUCUGUAUAUAUUCCACCCAAAAAAACAUAGAAAUGUAGUACACUAUGUGUACAAACAAAUAAUACAAAGUUGCCAUCAUAUGCAGCACUGACUCAUCAACCCUUAGUUCUUCACAGUGCUGACGUACCUCAGAAGCAUCUGAAUCAUCUCUAGAGAGAUGUUUGCUGCCUGCUGCUUCAGCUGUUCGAUCUUUAUGUUCGUCUCUUGCUCAAGGCGCUUGACGUUUGCGCCAGAGUCACUGCUGGUCUGGAAGUGGAAAUGCCAAGAAUAUAAAUGAUCAAAAGCCAUGUUAUUAUCUUAUAAACAAACAUAUUGAAUACGCAGAUGCACGAUACAUACCUCAGUGAGCUUCCUCGAAAAUCGGCCUCCGUUUGGCAUGAUACUCGGCUAUUUCUCUCUGUCUCUUCUUUUGCUUGCCCAAGCCUUGCUGUUUUAGCUGAUCCUGCAGGAAAUUAGCGUGCUAUUGGUCACCAUAUUGGGAUUAUUAGACUGACUUGUUCACACAAACUAUAUGUAAAUAAAAGCAACUCAUGCAACAAAUUCUUCCGGAUAAGCCACAGAAGUUCUGCUUCCUGAGGCAAUAUAUCCUGCCACUCGCCCCUCCCCGAUGCAAUUCAGAAACAGGUAGCGCUGGCUUUGCUUUGCGAAAAUGAAAUACUACCUUCAGUCUCACCACCAAAGCAGCCCAAAAUAAUUGCAGAAAUUGUCAGUUUUGGGGAAGACUAAACUGCGAAUAUUGGAAAUGAUAUACAAACCUUCCAUAAAUUUCUUCUGAGAUUUCAAUAGCAAAUAGGAACCUUGAUAUAAAAGCAAAGAGAUGGGAGGAGAUAAGAUCAUGUCAAUGAACAGAUCAAACACACGAUGUGCCGCCUGGAUCCAGAUCCGCCCCCUCCGCCACCGGAAAGUGCAGCAGACGGGAAUGACACGGCUACCAAGAUUUUUUUAUCCCACAAAUGCGUUGCUCACUGGAUUUGACAAAACACGUUUACAUAUUAAAUUCAGAAAACCAUGAUACUUUAGUACAACAAGUAGAUGCAAAAAAAAUCUAUCCUUAAAUAAAGUGGCCGGUGCUAUAAUUCUUUGCUAUGGUCCUACAAAAACUAUUAAGCUGGUCCAGAAAUUAGUAUGACUAACAUACGGCAAAUUCAAAGUCCAAGCUGUCAAUCUUUUCAAGAAAACAAUAUGUGUUUGCUUCCUUAGGAAAAGAAAAGAAUCAGGAACUUUCACAAAAUAUUCUGCAAACAAUUAUAACUCAAGAAACAGAGAAGCAUGGCCUGAAGCGACAAACUGUAUCACUCCUAGGACUAAAUUAGGAGAUCAAAAAACCCUUGCAGAAUUUACAUGCCAACAGAGAACAAAUUGAUGACCAAACAAGACUUAGUUUUGGAGUACUAAUAAGAAAGAUAGGUACAUGGAUGAUUGUUCAUCAUAGAUAACUUAGUAGAUACUCCCUCCGUUUCUUUUUAGUCUGCAUAUAAGAUUUAGUCAAAGUCAAACUUUACAAAGUUGGACCAACAUUAUAGAAAAAAGAGUCAAUUACACCGGUGGUGCUAGAACUUGGCGGAAAUAGUCACUUUGGUGCUAGAAGUUGCGGUGUACAUUGAAGCGGUGCAAAAACUUGGUUUAGACGUGCAAAUACAGUGCAUAUCCCGUUUUGUAUACAUUAUCUGUGUUGACUAGGCGCGUGGGGUCCACUGUCAGCCCGUGAACUGGAAAGAAUGUUUUUUCGAAAACCCCCUCACCAAAAAAUAUUAUUUUGACAAAAAAAGACCAUACAGAUCUGGCACUUUACUUCUCUAUGCCCAGUGGGUCCCGCCUGUAAAUAUCAACAGAAAAAAUAUUCCAGGCAGGUUUCGAACCCGCGACCACAGGCUACCAAAACAACCUACUAACCACUUCACCCUACGCUUAAACUAGUGAAAAAUGAUAACUAUUGUUUAAAUACUUGGGAGUGACGCUUACGGAGCUUAAAUGGGCUGAAGAUAUUGCAGCCCAUUUUGCACAAGCUAUAUUUAUAAGAUAUUUUAAAACAUAAGCAAUAAAAAUUAUGUUCCAAUAUUUGUGUGUUAUCAAUACUAUGUAAAUAAAAACAAUGAAAUAUAUAACCAUGUAUAUAUAAAAUAUUUAGUUAAUACGGAAAUUAAAAUGUAUAUUAGAUACAAUGUUUAAUGAAUACAAAAAAUGUAUACACUCAUGGCUUAUAUUUAAAUUUUAAAAUGAUGAAUACAAACAUUUACUUUAUCUAUAAUUACUCACAUGCCUAUAUUUUUUACUCAUGACUUAUAUUNNNNNNNNNNNNNNNNNNNNNNNNNNNNNNNNNNNNNNNNNNNNNNNNNNNNNNNNNNNNNNNNNNNNNNNNNNNNNNNNNNNNNNNNNNNNNNNNNNNNNNNNNNNNNNNNNNNNNNNNNNNNNNNNNNNNNNNNNNNNNNNNNNNNNNNNNNNNNNNNNNNNNNNNNNNNNNNNNNNNNNNNNNNNNNNNNNNNNNNNNNNNNNNNNNNNNNNNNNNNNNNNNNNNNNNNNNNNNNNNNNNNNNNNNNNNNNNNNNNNNNNNNNNNNNNNNNNNNNNNNNNNNNNNNNNNNNNNNNNNNNNCAGUGUGUACUGAAAUAAUACACGAAUUUUUUAAAAUAAGGUAUUUCGUUUGUAUGCUAGGUAGUUUUUAAAAUAAAUGUAUCAAUGAUUUGAAAAUAACACAUGAACAUUUUUGGUCAAUAUACAUUUUAAAAUUCUGUAUUAGCAAAAUAUUUUAUAUAGUACAUGGGUGUAUAUUUAAAUGUUUUUGUUUACUAGUCAUGGUUUGUUUGUAAAAAAUUUAUUGCACACAUACAUUUAAACAUAAUUUUGGUAACUUACAUUUUAUAAAUAUAUCUUUAAAAAACAGCGCGUGCAAAAUGGGCCGCAAUAUCUGCAGCCCAUUUAAACUUCAGAUGCAUACCUGCUAAAUUCAUGUUGCUAAAAAAACUUGGUGAAUACAUAUAGUUUAGUUAUCCAUUGAGAACGUCGUGAUACCCACAGCAUACUGGUUGUACUAGUUUGCUCUCUAUCCGUGGUUGCUUGUUCGAGUCUUGAUCUUGCCUUUUUCAUGUUAGUUUUGACCAGCGGGCCUGUUGAUUAAAGAAGUAAAAUGACAUGUGGAUAUAUACUUUUCGGCAAGUGGGACCCACACGCCUAGCCAGCGCAUAAUCCGUAUACCAACGCGAUUAGCACUGUAUUUGCACGACCAAGCCAAGUUUUUGCACCACUUCAAUGUACACCGCAACUUCUAGCAUCAAAGUGACUGUUUACGCCAAGUUCUAGCACCACCAACGUAAUUGAUUCUAGAAAAAAAUACCAUCAUCUACAAUACUAAAGUUAUAUGUCAUGAAAAUUAAUUUCAUCAUUCAUUUAAUAAUGUUAAUAUCAUAUCGUGAAUGUUGAUAUCUUUUCCUACAAAGCUAGUCAAACUUUACAAAGUUUGACUUUGACCAAUUCUUAUAUGAACUAAAAAAACGAAGGGAGUACAUAGAUGAUGUAUAACUCGUCAGGCAUAUGGAGCUAUCAUAGCAUGGAUAACUCGUCAGGCAUAACAUAGCUGCAACCAACACAAGAGAGGUAUUCUAGAUAGAUACAUACAUAGGUAGACAGAGAUAUGAAUCAAAGGGGGGAUCCCAUGCACUUACCUAGAAUUUGUCUUCGGAAGGUUUGUGCGUGGCUGGUGAAGGUUGCGGCUGAUGGGGCUAUCCACGGCUGCGACUCCGGGGCAGGAGGGCGGGGUAGGGGGCAGCGGACGGAUGGAGCUCAGGGUCGGAGUCGUCGGCGGCUGCAGCACCCACGGCGACAGGGACGCGGGGUAAGGGGUGAGCGCGCCUCCAGGCGAGGCAGGUGGCGGACUAUGUCGGGGGCUCGAGGCAGACGGGGUCGUGGGCAGUAGACGGCUGGAGCUCGAGGUCGGGGGCGGCGGACGACCGGAGCUCGGUGUCGGGGCCGGCGGAUGGAUGUCCAGCUGCUACUUGCAGCUCGGCGACUCGGAUCUUCGGCUUGGCAUCGCCGGAACCAACGACCAGAAGCCGCGCCAGUCCCCUACUGUGCCGUCCCCAGAGACCUCGCCGGCGUACCCGACACCACGGCGACUGCCCGGGCCCGGGCCUCCAUGCCGACGGCAUAGUGGCGCGAACAGGAGGCCCUGCCACCGCUCGGGGACCGGGGUCUGCGCAAGGGCCGUCCCCAGAGACCUCGCCAGCGCACCCGACACCACGGCGGCUGCCCGGGCCCGGGCCUCCAUGCCGACGGCAUAGUGGCGCAAACAGGAGGCCCUGCCACCGCUCGGGGACCGGGGUCUGUGCAAGGGCUCUUGUGUGUAGCUGUUGUUCACUAGGUGUUUGUGUGGUUCUCCUAUCGGUUUGACAACAUUGGUUCUCAUCGAGAGAAAUAUUACCCGCUACUAUAUUGCUUCACCCUUCCUCUUUGGAGGAAAUCCUAACGCAGCUCACAAGUAACAUAUGGGUCAACAGUAAAUCUUGGUAAAAUAUCCUAAAGAACCCUGAAGUCAUGUGAUUAGAAGUUGGUUGAUCUUUAUGUGGUCAUGCGAUGAUCACGAAUAUAGAUCGGUCUCCAUGUGGUUAUGCGAUGAUCACAAGAUCGACCCCUGGUGGUUAUGCGAUAACCACUAGCAUGAGUAAGUUGGUCCAUGAGAUCUUAACGCCGCCUUCACUUUCAUAGUUUAUCCUACUAGUAUUAUGUUUAUCACCCAUGAUUAACCUGUAUAUGCCAUGCUACUGUUUGUCUUGAUUGCUUUGAUUGCUGUGAGCUUGCAAAUACAUUCAAUGUACGCACUUGGCUUAUCAUGCCAGAUACAGGAGAACCCGUGCAUGGAGUUGAUGUUGACCCGUACCUCGCGAACUAGGACGUGUCCCAGUAGUGUCCCUUUGGAAUGGAGUUCCACUGCCCCGUUGUUCCGCUGCCGUGUAGUUUCAUCAACUAGUAUCGAGGCGCUGGAGAUGUUCCACAAAUAAUGUACAUAUUGUAGCCACAAUGGAUGUGCCACUUGGCCUCGCUCCUUUAUGUAAUCAUCGAACCCAUGUACCUGUACUAUAUUAAUACACUAGUAGAAAAAUGGUCAAAUCUGAGACACAUUAGUGACGGUUUGAUUUUGAGCCAACACUAAUGUGUCCAUUAGUGCCGGUACCAACGGCUAGCCGGCCGCUCUCAUUAGUACCGGUUUGUGGCGAACCUUUAGCACCGGUUCAUGCCACGAACCGGUACUAAUGAGAGUGGUGGAAGGAUGUUGUCAGUCUGGGGCCCCUCCAGCACGAACCGGUACUAAAGGUCAUCCUACAUAAACCCUUCGCCCACCCGAGCUCGCUGUGUUCUUCCCCUUUCCCCUCUCCUCCUCUGUUCUUCCCCUCUCUCCCUCGAUCUCAUCAGACAUUUUGCCCAAAAUUUGUCAAGAUUUGAAGGCCCCCAUCCAUUCAAAUGAUCACAAAGGUUGGCAACUUUGUCCUUUCAUCUCUCAUUGCUAGAUUAGCUCUUGCAAUGCUUUGUAUAGUGAUUAAUUUGUGAGUUUAGUAAUUUGGGAGGAAUUAUAUGUGCUAGUAUUUGAUUUAUAUGCAAUUUGAGGUAAAAAAUAACACUUAGUUUGCAUAUGUAGGUGUGGUUUACUUAGUGCCUUCUAAAUCUCCGUCGUAGCCACCGUCGAUCGCCCGCACCGUCCCGUCGCCGGCACCACCUUGCGGUGAGGCUCUUGUUCAUGAAUGUUUUACAUUACCAAAUUGAUGUUUGUGUGAUUUGGAUAUAUAGUUACUCGUAUAAUUAUCUUACCCGUACGUUGUUUGUGUGCGUUGUUUGUUAUACAUAGUGCCAUGGUUUUGAUAUCCGUCCCCGUUGGCCCUCGUCCUUGUUAUGAUUCGGAUGUGGUAUAUUCUAUUUUAAAACUAGUUGUUUCAUUUCGUGUUUAUGACAAAUUAUGCCCAUCAAGUUGACAUAGAUAUUUUUAUCUAGGAGGUAUGUGAACCGGAAAUUCCAACCGACCCUAUUGUCGAGAGGUUAAAUUUAGUUGAAAGAGAAAACGAGUAUUUGAAAGAAAAAUUGAAAAGAAUUGAGGGGAAGAAGAUGGAAUUGGAGUUGCAUGUUGUCGAUGUCGUCGAUGAUCACAAGAUCAAGAUGGAGAAAAUGCGGUUGAAGAUUAGAAAGAUUAGAAAAUAUGCCAUUGAUAGUGUGGCUUGGUAUCAUUAUGUUGUUGGAUCAAUUGUUACCUUAGUUGCGAUCUUGAUCGCAUUUGUUGUUGCAUUUAAAUUCUUUAGCUAGAGAGUUAUUUGUAUGUUGCAUUUAAUUAAGUGUUGUAUAUGAACUUUAUGUAUGAACUUGUAUUAAUUUGGUCUAUUCGGUGUUGUGUAAUGAAGAUGAGCCGACAAUGGAUGUAUGAUGACCGAUGCUCUCCCGAGUUCAUUAAUGGCGUGCAUACUUUUCUGCUUGCCGCUGAGGCAAACAAGCGGGCGGAUGGUUUUAUGCCUUGUCCAUGUGCUGGCUGUAAGAAUGGUCACAAUUACUCUACGUCAUGAACCAUUCACGUCCACCUAUUUGAGUCCGGUUUCAUGCCCCACUAUAAUGUUUGGACCAAGCACGGAGAAAGAGGGGUUAUGAUGGAAGACAAUGAAGAAGAAGAGGACGACGACAGCUAUCCUGGCCAUGGGUUCCCUGAAUACGAUGAUACAACAAUGUGGGAAGAAGCUGAGCCGGCAAUGCGGGAAGAAGCUGAGGCAUCAGAUGAGCCCGCUGAUGAUCUAGGUCGGGCCAUUGCCGAUGCAAAGAGAAACUGCGCAAGUGAUUUGGAGAAGAAGAAGUUGCAGUGCAUGUUUGAGGAUCACAAGAAAUUGUUGUACCCGAAUUGCGAAGCUGACAAAAAAAAGUUGGGCACCACACUAGAAUUGCUACAAUGGAAGGCAAAGAAUGGUGUGUCUGACAAGGAAUUUGGAAAGUUGCUGGUAAUGAUAAAGAAUAUGUUUCCAAAGGACAACAAAUUGCCCGAGAGUACGUAUGAAGCAAAGAAGGUUGUCUGCCCUCUAGGGUUAGAGGUGCAGAAGAUACAUGCAUGCCCUAAUGACUGCAUGCUCUACCGCGGUGAGUACGAGGAUUUGAACGCAUGCCCGGUAUGCAGUGCAUUGCGUUAUAAGAUCAGUCGCGAUGACCCUGGUGAUGUCGAGGGUGAGCGCCCCAAGAAGAAGAUUCCUGCCAAGGUGAUGUGGUAUGCUCCUAUAAUACCACAGUUGAAAUGUUUGUUCCAAAACAAAGAGCAUGCGAAGGCAAUGUGGUGGCACGGAGAAGACCGUAAGAAAGACGGAAAGUUGAGAGUACCCGCUGACGGUUCGCAGUGGAGAAAAUCGAGAGAAAUUACAGGGAGGAGUUUGAAGGUGACCCAAGGAACGUAUGGUUUGGUCUAAGCGCAGAUGGCAUUAAUCCUUUUGGGGAGCAGAGCAGCAACCAUAGCACCUGGCCUGUGACUCUAUGUUUGUAUAACCUUCCUCCUUGGUUGUGCAUGAAGCAGAAGUUCAUUAUGAUGCCAGUGCUCAUCCAAGGCCCUAAGCAACCCGGCAACGACAUUGAUGUGUACCUAAGGCCAUUAGUUGAAGAACUAUUACAGCUGUGGGAUGGAACAGGUGUACGUGCGUGGGAUGAGCAUGGAAAGGAAGAAUUUGACCUAAAGGCGUUGCUGUUCGUGACCAUCAAUGAUUGGCCUGCUCUCAGUAACCUUUCAGGACAGACAAACAAGGGAUACCGCGGAUGCACGCACUGUUUCGAUGAUACCGACAAUAUAUAUUUGGAAAGUUGUAGGAAGAAUGUGUACCUGGGACAUCGUCAAUUUCUUCCGAGCAGGCAUCCCGUAAGAAAGAAAGGCAAGCAUUUCAAAGGUGAGGCGGAUCACCAGACGAAGCCUCGCCACCGUACUGGUGCUGAUGUACAUGAUAUGGUCAAGGAUUUGAAGGUAAUCUUUGGAAAAGGUCCAUCCUAUAUAUACAACACUUGCAAAAAAUUCAGUUUCCCUCUGUUUCUUCCUCUCCGUCGACGACACGCCGCCUGCCCCGAUCGACGCCGUCGCCGCACCCGCGCGUCGCCGCCCCGGCCGUCCCCGCCCCUCGUCACCGCCCCCNNNNNNNNNNNNNNNNNNNNNNNNNNNNNNNNNNNNNNNNNNNNNNNNNNNNNNNNNNNNNNNNNNNNNNNNNNNNNNNNNNNNNNNNNNNNNNNNNNNNNNNNNNNNNNNNNNNNNNNNNNNNNNNNNNNNNNNNNNNNNNNNNNNNNNNNNNNNNNNNNNNNNNNNNNNNNNNNNNNNNNNNNNNNNNNNNNNNNNNNNNNNNNNNNNNNNNNNNNNNNNNNNNNNNNNNNNNNNNNNNNNNNNNNNNNNNNNNNNNNNNNNNNNNNNNNNNNNNNNNNNNNNNNNNNNNNNNNNNNNNNNNNNNNNNNNNNNNNNNNNNNNNNNNNNNNNNNNNNNNNNNNNNNNNGUCGUCGCCGCCCCGUCGUCGCCGCCCCGUCCCGUCGCCCCGUCGUCGUCGCCGCCCCGUCGUCGCCUCGCCUGUGAGCUCAUGCCCCGACCGCCAUGUCCACACACACACACACACACACACACACUAGUUUUUUUGUUAUAAAUUUUAGUUAUAGAAAUUUUUCUGUUUUUUAGUUAUAGAAAUAUCUAUAGAAAUGCUAGAAAUUUUUCUGUUUUUUAGUUAUAGAAAUAUUAGAAAUGUUAGUUAUAUAGAAAUGUUAUAAAUUUUUUCUGUUUUUUAGUUAUAGAAAUGUUAGCAAUUUUUUCUGUUUUUAGUUAUAGAAAUAUUACAAAUGUUAUAGAAAUGUUAGUUAUAUAAUCAGAAAUGUUAGUUAUCACAAUCUAAUCAUUUAAAAAAUGUUACUUUUUGCAGGCAUAUAGUAUUUGUUUUCGAUGAAAUGCCCGGCCCGCAUCCUCGCUGUCGACCCGUUCGUGACGACGUCAUGCUUCAGAGAACCCAUGUCCGGGACUGGGCUCCGCCGGGCUGGCACUGGGAGGUGCUACCUGGAGGGCCGCGCCGCUUGGUGAGGAACCCGGCCUCGGGUCCCGUCGUCGACCCUGAUCUCCUUUGGUGGUGUUCAUGUGGGCCACAUUUGGUGCAGAGGGAGCCGGCCCCGCCGGAGGUGGUGCGUCGUCGUGUCAGGGAGGAGGACGAGCACGUCCAUCGCUACAUGGAUGCUAUGGACGACGUCAGGUUCUCCACUACUUGGCAGGUUCUUUGGGCAGAUGACCGAAGAUAUGAUCCUGUGAUGGUUCCUUCUCUUUGGGUGUCCACCGCCCAUGCCCCAGGAACCGCGAGUGGCCUAGAUUCUUCUGUAGUACUCGAUCUUUAUAGGUACCUAGCCAGUGAUGUAUUCGAUAUAUAAUAUUCGAGACGAUGUAUUCGAGAUUAUAUAUAUUAUCGAGACGAUGAUGUAUUCGAGAUUAUAUAUUAAUUGAGACGAUGCAUAUAUUAUGUACUAUAUGAUUUAGUUUUUCCUUAUUGAUUGCAUCCAUGCAUUGUAAUUUGAAUACUAAAUUGUUUUAUAUUUCUUCUGUAUUAGUUAAGUAAAAGCUAUGGCGGACAAUACCGACAGAGAGAGAGAAGAGGAAUUGUUCGACAUCAUACGCAGCCCUCGCAGGCUAGAUGAUCUGAAUGAAGCAGAUGACGGCUCCCAAUAUCUGAACAAUACCGGAGAUGGUGAUGAAAAGAUAUUCGAUCUCAACGACCGAGCUGAUGAAUUCAUGAACUAUGAUUAUGAUUAUGAUGACACAGACAUUGUUUAUGAUGACACAGACAAUGUUGAUCUUCAAAUAACAAAGACUACCGGCGAGGUAUAUUUAUAUAAGCAGGCAUCUGGUGAUCAUCACAUGUUUUUUUAUUUGAAGAUAUAUUAACGAAUCGAUCUUUCUUCUUUCAGACCUCCGGAUCGAGCAAAUCUGCUUCUAUAGACAACAGGACAAAGUGAGGCCUGAGCAGAAAGUUGAAGGAGGGUGUAAAGUACAACAUUGACUCCGUCAAACCUAGUGGCGAACCCCUCAUGCCUAAGAACAUUGCAAACAAGUGGACUCGUCAGUGCGAAGUUCUUGUGAAGGACCAACUCCCGAUCUCCAUUCAAGAAUGGAAAGAGCCAAAAAACUAAACGUCCAGGUGUUACUUGGGUCGACGACCGAGCAAAAAAAAACCCUUUGGGAAUCUCUGAUGGAACAUUUCACCCUACUAGAUUAUUUCACUGAAGGAGAUGUGGAGAAAGUCAAGGGCGCUGCUCUUAAAAAGAUGGCAAUUGCAUUCAACACCCACAAGAAAACUGUAUGGGCCAACUACCUCGCUGCAGAAAGGAAGACUCCAGAAUUCACGGGAACACUGGAGAAGCAAAGAGAACACCGGGCCGAUUUCAUGAAAUUCAAGGAAUCAGAAUUAUCUAAGGAAUGGUCGAUAAAAAACAAGGCCAAUGCCGCAAAAAAGACGCAGUUCCAUAGGCUGGGUCCAGGUGGCUACGUGGUGGGAAUGCCUAAGUGGGAUAAGUCUGAGCAAGAGAUGGAAGAUGCAGGGGUCACUCCGGUUACUAGGAGCUGGCCCCCCAGGUGCAGAACUUGGUUCUAUGCGCAAGGGGGGGCGUUGGACCUGAAGACAUGCCUGGUUUCGUAGAAGGCAAGUCUAAAAGGAGCUGAACAAAAGAUACUUGACGCAAUAGAAGAAGCUCGAACGGGGGUGUUCACGCCCAACAGAGAGAACGACGAGCUUACGCGCGCCCUGGGAAAUCCUGAACACCCGGGUAGAACAUGAGGCAAGGGCGUUAUUCCAUGGUAUGAGGGCUUUUCGGAAUGGAACGCCGACUACAGGUCCCGUGCAAGAAAGAAGAUGGAGGAGGAGAAGAAGAGGAAGCUGGAGGAGGAGCAGAGGAAGCAGGACGCAGAACGCCUUCAAGGCCUAGAAGCAAGGCACGCGGACUUGGCACUCAAAUUCCAGCAGCAGCAGCAGCAGAUUGACUCACUUAGCCAGGAAAGGGGGUCUCAACAGCGGCAACAACAACCGGAUGAUAGUACAUCAUUGGAUAGCACCGUCCCAUCCAUGCCGAGAAGCAGCGUUGGUUCCGCCCCGGGCAACACACUGCUGGAUACAUACCCUGUGGAUGACAUCAUAGAGAACACUAACUGUGAGCUACACUCCAAAAUGAAGAACAUAUCUAUGAAGGUGGCAGACGCCGUUGCUUUUACAUUUACCCCCAAAGCAACCUUCCAUUACAACCCGAUUCCAGAGGGCUAUGCUCGUGUCUUGGUUGAUGAAGUGCUGGACCCAUAUUCGGGGCUCACGCUUGACAUUUCUGGAGGUGAAGACGAGCGCACACUGGGAGAGGCCAUACAUCGUAUCAUCCUAUGGAGAAAGGAUUGCAUCAUCUUUCGAAGUCCACCGACACCGCGUCAUCUGCCGACUCCUCCUCGAAGUCCGCCACCGAGUCAGCAGACUCCCGCUCCUCCAGGUCCACGAACGCGUGAGCCGAGUCCUCCUCAAAGUCCGCCACCGAGUCAGCAGACUCCCACUCCUCCAAGUCCAUGAACGCGUGAGCCGACUCCUCCUCGAAGUCUGCCACCUCCUCCAAGUCCCCGAACACGUGAGCAGACUCCUGCUUCAAGUCCGGCACAACGUCAGCCACUCCUCCUGCUUCAAGUCCGGCACAGCGUCAUCCACGUCAGCCGUCUUCGCCAUCUUAGCAAUCGCAGAAGAGACACGCCGCAGCUAUGGUGCGUAGCGGUACGAGUCGAGGUAGUACAGGAAGUACAGGCGGAGACAAGCGAUAGAAAUAUGGUCCAAGCCUCGCUCCUCUUCCUCAGAGGCCUUACGACAUGACCGAGGAGCAAAACGCAGCCAUAGUGCAGGCCCAAGUGGACACCCAUUUUGGACCAAAACCGGCACCGCCGCCAAGGGAGAAAGUGCCUGAGAAAGUUAUCGACCACUUUAUUCAUAUGGCAAGAAAACCAGCUCUCGAGCCUGUUGACUCAGACUAUGAGCGCCAAAUCAGGAAGCUACAUCGAGCACGACUAUAGAAGGAAGCGAGCUCGAGCUCGAGCCAACAAGCAGCUGGCAAAGAAUGCGGGAAAACCGUUCCCCAGCUAGGAGAACAGGCGGCGCAAUUGAUCCCCCCGCUUGUUGUGCCAACAACACAUGAGAGUACGCGCGCCCAAUAUUAUUGUGGGCAAACCAUUAACGUUCCCUAGCUGGGCGAUGUGGUAAUAACCGAGGAGCAUAUAAUGCAGGCUGAAAUGCUCAAGAUCACUGUUGGACAACUCCUCGAAAUCGAGCCCAUGUCUCCGCUUAGAGAGGAGGAAAUAAAACGGAAAUAUGUCCGGGCCAACCUUUGGUCGAGCCAGACAAGGUCAAGAACCUCCCAACGAGAAUGUAUGAAUUGCAUCAAUGGUACAUGAACAUUACCAAGAUUUCCAAUCGAGUGUCCCUCAUGGUGAAUGUCAAGGAGGAUCAUUACUUCCAUGAGAAAGCUCUGUCUAUUGAGUAUUCAGAACUAUUUCAGUUAUACAAUCAAGACGCACUCGACAAAUCUAUCUUCGGUUGCUAUUGUCUGUAAGUGAUUUCUUUCUGUAAUUUAAGUCUCAAGCUAGCUAUAGUGAUCAUUUUGAUUAAUCAUUACAUGUAAUUAUCCUCACUAUAUUCUUUUAUGUGGUAUUAUAUGCAGGAUGAAGAUGUAUGAAAUGAAAAAAUCUGGACGCUAUGGCAUUGGGUUCAUUGACCCAAAUACCAUUAAUGAGUACACAUGGAAUCUUCCAAUUUAUCAAGCAAGUGGAGAGGAAAGCAUGCUAGAGUUCUUCAAGCGCCUCAAUACCAAUGAAGAUAACCAAUGAAGAUAUACUACUUCCUUACAACUUCCUGUGAGUCACUGUCUUGUGCUACAAAUUCUGUUUUUGCUUACUAGCUAGCUAGAUGUUAAUAAUUAAGUGUAUAUGGUUUACGGUAGUUGAUUAGUGUUAUGCAGAUGCCCGCUUAAUUAAGACAUGCAAACAUGUGCGCAUGCAGUUUCCACUGGAUCUUGUUAGACAUUAAAGUUGACAAAGGAAUAGUUGAAGUACUGGACUCACUACUUAAAGAAGAAAAAGACUACACCAUCAUGAAGGGGAUAGUCAACAGGUAAUUUCAAUCAUUAUUAACUAUAUCUCGGCCUAUUUAGUUCGUCAUUUCCUGAUAUGAACUAUUUAGUAACCCCUUUAUUAUUUUUCUUUGCCGGCGGGCCGGGCUUGGGCAAAGUUCAUCAAGGUGACUCCAGGCAAAUGGGCAAAAAAGCUGUUUUGGUAUCGACCAAAGGUAAGUAAUUAAGUAGUACCAUUAAUUAAUUAUCAUGCUUGAUUAAGCAUUAUCUGAUUCAAUUCCAUUCUCUUAAAGGCACUGAAGCAGGCGCAGGGGAAUGAUCUGUGUGCAUUCUACGUUUGCGAGAACAUUCGCAUGAUGGCGUCCGAAAGGAGCAGAUUUCAAAGAUAGGAAUGGGUACGUUUGUCAGAACACUAUUCACACUCGAUAUCUAGUCACACAACUAAUACACAUGCAUAUUGAUCUCCUUCUUAAUAGUUCAGAGAGGUGCGGGAGCAGCUCCAGCAGCGGACCGCAUACUAGCAUUUCAAGAGGAAAUAGCGGGAUUUUUGCUCGACCAGGUCAUAGAUCCCAAAGGAGAAUACUAUUACCCGCUACCGCCCCCAUGAACCACUUGUCAUCGUGCUCCGAAGGCACCAAGGCAACAUGUAGGAGAAAUUGUAUAUGUAUAUACAUGUGUAUGUGUGAAUAAUUAAUGGUGUUGGUUGUGAGAUAUUCGAUGAUAUAUAUAUAUAUAUAUAUAUAUAUAUGCGGUUCUACGUACGAGAAAAUCUAUUUAUAUAUAUGCAUAACGUGUACAAUUUGUAGUAUUGUAAAAUACCAGCAAACAAAAAAGAAUUAAAUGGAAAAUAAAGCCAAAACCCCCCCCAAACAUUUAGUACUGGUUGGUGUUACCAACCGGUAAUAAUGGUCUACCAGCACCCGUGCCUGGCCCGUGCCACGUGUUGGCACUUUAGUGCCGGUUCGUGACGAACCGGUACUAAAGGGGGGGCCCUUUAGUCUCCACUCUUUACUGCUGGUUGUAGAACCGGCACUAAAGGCCCUUACGAACCGGCGCUAAAGCCCGGUUCUGCACUAGUGAUAAAGUGGUUGUUUAUGUUCAAAUUGUUGUGUGUUGCCAAAAGACAUGAUCUCUGGGCUGGCAGCACAAGGUAAACCAGUUGCUCUGAGCCAGGGUGCCACAACCGCCCUCCGCCGCCCUCCUAGCCACAUCUCGACGACCCUUGAGUUCUUCUUCCUCUAGAACCGGCCUCGCUCCACUGCCCAUCUUGCCACACCGCUGCAUGUAGAAAAUCCCGCAUGUGGAUCGUUCUCUGCUUCUUUGCCUAAAACGUAGCUCAGUCGGCGUCCUUUCCAUUUUCUGAUCUCGUCCUCACAACAUUUUAGAGAAGCCACUGUGUUGCUAUCUUUCUAUUAAGAUAAGGAUGAUACUUUUUUUGUGGGCGUAUGUGUCAUCACCUAUUAUUGGCCAGUAAUUGUAUUCUUUGUACCUCUUUGUGCAAACAGGGAUAUUCAUUUCACCUCGUUGCUAUUGCAACCUUUUGGUGAACUUCAUAAAUCAUUUUUUUCUUAAGAGUGUUUCGUACAGUUCUACUAAAAUGUUACACGACCAUUUCUAUAUUUAAGUGGGACUGCACAAAGGGAGAUUAAAGUUCCUAUCUUCAUCCAACUUUGAGCCUAAUCUUCUCCAAUAAGUAGUUAGUCCUAAGAGAGAUUGCAAAGGUGACCGGCUUCUAUUUAUGUGUUUAUUAUUUCAUCAACGAUGGCACUAUUAUUGUAAUCACACUUACUCAAUAUCUUUGCGAACAGGGAUGCUCAACUCUAUUUUAGUAGAACUGCACAAAAUGAUCGGAAUGUUCCAUGCAUCCAACCCCUCCUUUCUUUGCCAACAUGUCUUGCCGAUUUUGACAGAGUUGCGAGAAAGUAGCUGCCGACCAAUGAACAUCGUCGCUAGGAAAUUAAAGCACGCCGACGGACAACAUGCCUACAGGCAUCAUCGAUCAAUUUUUACUUAUUAUUUAUUUGUACACCUUCUCACAACUUUGUCUUCCGUUCUGAUGUAAAUAUUGGCUCUGAUCUGCGAACCAUUUAGAUGCAUCAGGAUGGAAGUUAGUUUUCUUUGAAUUUGAUGGAAUGUUGUAACGAGACAACCUUCCAGGAGGCAAGACACAUGAAAUAAAAGUUGAAAGCUUCAUAGCAUUGUACAUUUCCAUCUCGCUGAAAAAUUAUGCAUACAUAUAUUGUGUAAAAAAUUGUUGAAAGCUUCAUAGCAUUGUCAGAAUCCAUUCAACUUCCUUCCACCGACAUGUGGGACAUCCAGCAUCCGGGUCCACGUGCCAUGCACUAAAUUAUAGUGCACAACCGCAUGGGAGACUCACCCAGGUUGUUGCACCGCAAUAAUAAUGACUAAGGAGCAGUCAAAUCAUAAAUCCCCACCUUUCCACUAUAAGUUGCUCGGAUGAAGCAUCCAUCAAUUCAUUCUUAUUUGAAGCCUCUUCUACUAGUACCUCCUUUUAUUCAUGAACACCCACCACAUGCGAAGAUUAGACGGUAGCAGCAAGUGUAUGGGGAUGGUUCCAGAUAACAAAUAUUCCCUCCAUUUCGGAUUAUCGGGGUUCAGUUCAAAAAUUUAAACCAAUAAAUGAACUACUAGAUGGUGAGCGUUUACUAGCAUCAUGUACGUAUUAAUUGCAAUGCAUGCAUGCGUGAGCAAUACAAUGACCAAGAACAUUUACGUGCAUUGCUUAGUUUUCUCUUAAUCCUUGCACAAACGAUUUAAUGCACUUUGAAAUAUAAACAUGUGAAUGAGAGCAAUAAAACUGAGACCUACAAAUAGUAGCAGUACAAAAUUGGAGACAAGCCCUAUAAACCAUAUGUGAGUGAUCUACUGUUGCAGGACGGUUGACGGGACUAGUAGAAAGUGAAGCACCUUCUUAGCCAGGAUUUGCAUCGAUCUAUGAUGGUGCAAAACCAAGUGCUACUACACUAUACAAGUUCAAAAUGAGAAACUGGACCCACUCAUGGCACGCCUGUCGCAUUUGGCCCAUCGGGCAAUGCUCUUCCACUUGGAAUAUCACUGACAUGUGGGAGCGAGUGUGAGCAAACCGACCGUAAUUGACGACAAAAUGGCUAACCCGCCGCUCCUUGAGAGAGAUGAGGAGCGAGAACACAGAUAGGCUAGGCGUCGCACGGAGGCCAGGAAAUAUGGUGAUAAUGUGAGGUGGUCCAUGUAUAAUACAUGAUGUAUGAAUACUUCACUUGGCAGACGUGUUUCACAUUGCUUCGGAGUAAAUGUGGAGAAGAUUGCUUUAUCAUGAAUUAAAAUAAAAUAAGAGUGCAGACGCUGCACCGUGCGGUUCCUAGCUCCUUCUCGUUGUCGGAACUCGUUCUUAUUCCUUUCGCUGACACAUGGGACAUCUAACAUCUGGGUCCACGUGUCAUGCAAGAAAUUAGAGAUAAGUAUACAAGUGAGACUCAACAAUGGUCACACAUGUAGGUGGAGUACGUGCGGGGAGACUCACCCCGGUCGCCGCAGUAAUAAUGACUAAUGAGCAGUCAAAUUACGAAGGCCCACCUUUCCCAUAGUAAGUUGCUCGAACGAAGCAAUCAUCAUUUCAUUCUUCGUUGAAAAUCUUCUCUACAUCCUUUUAUUCAAUAAAAACACCACACCUAAAUGUUGGACGGUACUAGCAACAAAGCAUCAAGUCUAUGGGGAUGGUUCCAGAAAACAAUAUUCCCUCCCUUCCGUUUUAUGAGACUCAAUUCAAAAACCUAAACGACCAAACCAACCAAUGAACUACUAGAUGGCGAGUGUUUACUAUCAUGAAUUAAUUACAACACAUGCAUGUAUGAGCAAUACAAUGACCACAUACGAAUUUGAUGGUAUGUUUUGUGUAACUUGCAUGUAAUAUAUCUCUAACACGUGUUCAAAGUUUGCCUCGAAAAAUGCAUUAGACCCUAUUUAUAUGGAUAGAGGGCGUACAUGCAUUGUUUUGUUUUCUCUUAAUCCUUGCACACUCGCUUUCUCUUGGCAUAUCUCAGCGACUGUGAGAAAACCGACUGCAAUUGAUGGGAAAAUCGCCAACCCGCCAUUCCAUGAGAGAGACGAGGAGGGAGAACUGAAAGGAUCGAGAAGAGGUGUCUAGAGGGGGGUGAAUAGACACUAAGAAAGAAAAGUUGCAGCUUUUAAUUUCUUGAAGUUGGAGUGGAGUUUUGGCACAAGUUUAACAUUCACAAUACAUAUCAAGCAAGCAUGCGAAGAGUAUGUGAGCAGCGGAAAAUAAAGCAUGCAAAUUGCAAGAAUGUAAGGGAUGGGAUUGGAGUGUGCAAACACAAUUUGAAGACAUGGAGAUGUUUGAGCCGUGGUUCCGAUAGGUGGUGCUAUCGUACAUCCACGUUGAUGGAGACUUUAACCCAUGAAGGGUAACGGUUGCGCGAGUCCACGGAGGGCUCCACCCACGAAGGGUCCAUGAAGAAGCAACCUUGUCUAUCCCACCAUGGCCGUCGCCCACGAAGGACUUGCCUCACUAGGGGUAGAUCUUCACGAAGUAGGCGAUCUCCUUUCCCUUACAAACUCCUUGGUUCAACUCCAAAUUCUUGACGGAGGCUCCCAAGUGACACCUAGCCAAUCUAGGAGACACCACUCUCCAAGAAGUAACAAAUGGUGUGUUGAUGAUGAACUCCUUGCUCUUGUGCUUCAAAUGAUAGUCUCCCCAACACUCAACUCUCUCUCACAAGAUUUGGAUUUGGUGGAAAGAAGAUUUGAGUGGAAAGCAACUUGGGGAAGGCUAGAGAUCAAGAUUUAUGUGGUAGGAAUGGAUUAUCUUGGUCUCAACACAUGAGUAGGUGGUUCUCUCUCAGAAAAUGAAUGCUAUAAGUGUAGGCACGUUCUGAUGGCUCUCUCCACGAAUGAAGAGUGGGUGGAGGGGUAUAUAUAGCCUCCACACAAAAUUUACCGCUACACACAACUUACCAAACUCGGUGGGACCGAAUUGUGAAACUCGGUCGGACCGAUUCUGGAAAUAAUGUGACCGUUAGGAUCUUCGGUGGGACCGACAUGUAAUCUCGGUGGGACCGAUAUGGUUAGGGUUAGGGCAUAACGUAAUCUUGGUGAGACCGAUUACACAAAAUCGGUGAGACCGAUUUUGGUAAUAGACACACAGAGGGUUGGUCAGGCAAACUCAGUGGGACCGGUUCGCUAAUCUCAGUAAGACCGAAAUGUUACAAAGAGGAACAGAGAGUUUGCAUUGUAAUCUCGGUAGGACCGAUUACACAAACUCGGUGAGACCGAUUUUGGUCAUGGACAUACACAUAGAGAUUACAAUCCCAUCUCAGUGAGACCGAGAUCCCUAUCGGUGAGACUGAAAAGACUAGGGUUUUUGGCAGUGGCUAUGUCAUGAGAACUCGCUGGCGCCGGAUGGAAAGAUUCGGUAGGGCCGAAUUUGACUUUUGGUUUGGGACAUAUGUGGAUGUGAGAAAGUGGUUGAGGGCUUUGGAGCUUAUCACUAAGCACUUGAGCAAGCAAGCCAUUAAGCAACACCUCAUCCCCUCUUGAUAGUAUUGGCUUUUCUUAUAGACUCAAUGUGAUCUUGGAUCAUUAAAGGUAAAAUGUAGAGUAUUGUGCUUUGAGCUUGAGCCAAUCCUUUGUCCUCAGCAUCUUGAAGAGGUUCCACAUCCUCUAGUCCAUGCCACUUCAUUGUUGAACUUAUCUGAAACAUACUAGAUAAAAGUAUUAGUCCAACAAGAGAUAUGUUGACAUUAAUUACCAAAACCACCCAGGGAGCACUUGUGCUUUCAAUCUCCCCCUUUUUGGUAAUUGAUGACAACAUACAUCAAAGCUUUAGAUAAAGAUAUAGAGAAUAACAAAUAAAGCUUUGGAAAGACACGUAACAUGCAUAGGCUCCCCCUACAUGUAUGCAAUCAUGUAAGUAUGAAAUAUAGGAGCAUGUGAAUGCAUAAACAUGACAGAAUAAGCAAUGUGUUACAUGUAUCUUGUCUAUAUGCAUCAGAGAAAAUGAUGUGAAUAUGGGAAAUGUACCUUCAUGCUCAUGAUUCCUUCUUGCAAACAGUAUGUACAUCAGCAAGAAAUCCUCAUACACAUGAAUGUGAUGCAUAUACUUACCUUGUGGUCUUGAGUUGGCUUAGGAAGGAAUGAACCUGCGUAAACAAGGUUAGAUAACACAGAUACACCUAUUAGCCAGAGCAAACAAAAGAAGCCACAAGAGAACCAAGACUGGGAUGACAUGUAGAGAUUGAGUACUGAGUACCACAUUGGAUAUAGACAUGUCCCCAAAGGUAAAGAUGUGCAAUGAAUUCAAAGAAUUUCUUUCCCUUAGAUGUCUUGCUCCCCCUGAAUCUAGCAUGGGAUAUUGGGAGAAGAUAGGGAACAGAAAAUCAGAGCAAAGAAAGGAAACAGAGCUAAUGCAAUCAAUCAAAUAUGAACAUGUAUUUCCCCUCUUAAAGACAUGUGACUUCUCUCCUCUUGAACACCAAGCAUCUGGGGUCUCUCUCCCCCUGAGUAUUUUCUCCCCAUAUAGAAAUGAUUAAGCUUUGAUGUGAUCUCUCUCUCCCCAUUUGACAUCAAUUUCCAAGAAGGGUUCUUCUAGAGUUUUGUCACAAUUGGGUUUGGUCCUUGAGUCACAGAACAAAGUAGCAAGUGAGUGUGAUGCUGGUACAGGACAAGAAUCAUUGAGUGGAGCUGGAUCAAAAGAAGAAUGCAGGAACAAGUGGCAAGCUAUUUGUCAUGUAGUGAAAUCGGUGGCACCGAUGUGUGCGCUUCGGUUGCACUGAACGAAUUCGGUUGGACCGAAGGCAACAGACCGGUGUGACCGAGUUCAUCAGAGAGAAAACACUAGUCACCUCAGCUCACUAGACAAGUAAGAUCUCACAAGGAUUUGCAAGAAAUUAACUGAAAGAUUUGCAAAGAAUUGGAUGCAGGGAAUGCAGAACAAACGGAAAGAAUUCUAGAUGAAGUUUUUUUGAAAGGGGAAACAAGAAUGCAUGAGGAAAAUGCAAGAGCACAGAAAAGAACACACGAGAACUUCAUCUAGAAUUGGUCGGCGACAAAGUCACCUAUGUUAGAGUAUAUUGACUUGGGAGUCAAGUGAGAUCACUUGAUCAUAGGCAUACUCAUCGUUUAAGCUCAAAAUGGGGUUACCAUUUUUUGUUUAAGCAUCUUGAUGUAUUCACAUCUUGUCAAUUUGCUUUGACUCAUGACUUGGAGUAGAGCUUCUCUAAGAUGGAAUAACAUACCUUGGGUGGUGGUGUUGAUCGUGAUCAUGUAGUUGAACUUGUGUGGAUAGCUCAAGGUUGAUGUAGCUCAUCAAGAGUUGGGAGCACCACUUGGAGUUUGAGUUCAUCUACCUACAUGAGUUAGUUUUGCAAGGAAGAGAACUUGUGUAUCCAAGAUGACAAUCAUGAAGCUUAGUUGUCAAAGGAUAUGUUCGAAUGGUUUCGUGCUUGCUUGUCUUUAACCACCAUUGUGUAGAGAAUUAAAGAUGUAGAGAUUGCUCAAGAUGUUAGUGAGUUGCAAUCUCAUAGAUUUAGAUUCAUCCAAGUACCUACAAGGGUUAGAUAACAUCCAAGGUGCAAAUACUGAAGGAAAUAUGCCCUAGAGGCAAUAAUAAAGUUAUUAUUUAUUUCCUUAUAUCAUGAUAAAUGUUUAUUAUUCAUGCUAGAAUUGUAUUAACCGGAAACAUAAUACAUGUGUGAAUACAUAGACAAACAAAGUGUCACUAGUAUGCCUCUACUUGACUAGCUUGUUUAUCAAAGAUGGUUAUGUUUCCUAGCCAUGGAUAAAAGAGUUGUCAUUUGAUUAACGGGAUCACAUCAUUAGGAGAAUGAUGUGAUUGACUUGACCCAUUCCGUUAGCUUAGCACUUGAUCGUUUAGUAUGUUGCUAUUGCUUUCUUCAUGACUUAUACAAAGUUCCUACAACUAUGAGAUUGUGCAACUCCCGUUUACCGGAGGAACACUUUGUGUGCUACCAAACGUCACAACGUAACUGGGUGAUUAUAAAGGAGCUCUACAGGUGUCUCCAAAGGUACAUGUUGAGUUGGCAUGAAUCGAGAUUAGGUUUUGUCACUCCGACUGUCGGAGAGGUAUCUCUGGGCCUUCUCGGUAAUACUCAUCACCUAAGCCUUGCAAGCAUUGUAACUAAUGAGUUAGUUAUGAAAUGAUGUAUUACGGAACGAGUAAAGAAACUUGCCGGUAACGAGAUUGAACUAGGUAUUGGAUACCGACGAUCGAAUCUCAGGCAAGUAACAUACCGAUGACAAAGGGAACAAAGUAUGUUGUUAUGCGGUUUGACCGAUAAAGAUCUUCGUAUAAUAUGUAGGAACCAAUAUGAACAUCCAGGUUUCACUAUUGGUUAUUGACCGAGAAUAGUUCUAGGUCAUGUCUACAUAGUUCUCGAACCCGUAGGGUCCGCACGCUUAACGUUACGAUGACAGUUUAUUAUGAGUUUAUAAGUUUUGAUGUACCGAAGCUUGUUCGUGUUGGGGAACGUAGUAAUUUCGAAAAUUUUCCUACGCACACGCAAGAUCAUGGUGAUGGCAUAGCAAUGAGAGGGGAGAGUGUUGUCCACGUACCCUCAUAGACCGUAAGCGGAAGCGUUAUGACAACGCGGUUGAUGUAGUCGUACGUCUUCACGAUCCGACCGAUCCAAGUACCGAACGUACGGCACCUCCGAGUUCAGCACACGUUCAGCUCGAUGACAAUCCCCGGGCUCCGAUCCAGCAAAGCUUCGGGGAUGAGUUCCGUCAGCACAACGCCGUGGUGACGAUGAUGAUGUACUAUCGGCGCAGGGCUUCGCCUAAACUCCGCGACGAUAUGACCGAGGUGGAAUAUGGUGGAGGGGGGCACCGCACACGGCUAAGGAACGAUCUGUAGAUCAACUUGUGUGUCAUGGGGUGCCCCCUGCCCCCGUAUAUAAAGGAGCAAGGGGGAGGGGGCGGCCGGCCUAGGAGGGGGCGCGCCAUGGGGAGUCCUACUCCCACCGGGAGUAGGACUCCCUCCUUCCUUGUUGGAGUAGGAGAAGGGGGAAAGAGGGGGAGAGGAGGAAGGAAAAGGGGGCCGCACCCCUUGUCCAAUUCGGACCAGAGGGGGGCUGCGCGCCUCCUUCCUUUCGGCCUCUCUCCUCUAAUCCCGUAUGGCCCAAUGAGGCCCAUAUACUCCCCGGCGAAUUCCGUAACUCUCCGGUACUCCGAAAAAUACCCGAAUCACUCGGAACCUUUCCGAACUCCGAAUAUAGUCGUACAAUAUAUCGAUCUUUACGUCUCGACCAUUUCGAGACUCCUCGUCAUGUCCCCGAUCUCAUCCGGGACUCCGAACACCUUCGGUACAUCAAAACUCAUAAACUCAUAAUAUAACUGUCAUCGAAACCUUAAGCUUGCGGACCCUACGGGUUCGAGAACUAUGUAGACAUGACCUAGAACUAUUCUUGGUCAAUAACCAAUAGCGGGACCUAGAUGCCCGUAUUGGCUCCUACAUAUUCUACGAAGAUCUUUAUCGGUCAAACCGCAUAACAACAUACGUUGUUCCCUUUGUCAUCGGUAUGUUACUUGCCCGAGAUUCGAUCGUCGGUAUCCAAUACCUAGCUCAAUCUCGUCACCGGCAAGUCUCUUUACUCGUUACGUAAUGCAUCAUCCCAUAACCAACUCAUUGGUCACAUUGCUUGCAAGGCUUAUAGUGAUGUGCAUUACCGAGAGGGCCCAGAGAUACCUCUCCGACAAUCGGAGUGACAAAACCUAAUCUCGAAAUACGCCAACUCAACAUGUACCUUCGGAGACACCUGUAGUACUCCUUUAUAAUCACCCAGUUACGUUGUGACGUUUGGUAGUACCCAAAGUGUUCCUCCGGUAAACGGGAGUUGCAUAAUCUCAUAGUUACAGGAACAUGUAUAAGUCAUGAAGAAAGCAAUAGCAACAUACUAAACGAUCAAGUGCUAGGCUAACGGAAUGGGUCAAGUCAAUCACAUCAUUCUCCUAAUGAUAUGAUCCCGUUAAUCAAAUGACAACUCAUGUCUAUGGUGAGGAAACAUAACCAUCUUUGAUCAACGAGCUAGUCAAGUAGAGGCAUACUAGUGACACUCUGUUUGUCUAUGUAUUCACACAUGUAUUAUGUUUCCGGUUAAUACAAUUCUAGCAUGAAUAAUAAACAUUUAUCAUGAAAUAAGGAAAUAAAUAAUAACUUUAUUAUUGCCUCUAGGGCAUAUUUCCUUCAGUCUCCCACUUGCACUAGAGUCAAUAAUUUAGUUCACAUCGCCAUGUGAUUUAACACCAAUAUUCAUAUCUGUAUAUGAUUAACACCCAUAGUUCACAUCGUCAUGUGACCAACACCCAAAGGGUUUACCAGAGUCAAUAAUCUAGUUCACAUUGCUAUGUGAUUAACACCCAAAGAGUACUAAGGUGUGAUCAUGUUUUGCUCGUGAGAGAAGCUUAGUCAACGGGUCUGUCACAUUCAGAGCCGUAUGUAUUUUGCUAAUAUUCUAUGUCUACAAUGCUCUGCGCGGAGCUACUCUAGCUAAUUGCUCCCACUUUCAAUAUGUAUCCAGAUUGAGACUUAGAGUCAUCUGGAUCGGUGUAAAAGUUUGCACCGAUGUAACUUUUACAACGAACUCUUUUAUCACCUCCAUAAUCAAAACAUCUCCUUAGUCCUUACUAAGGAUAUUCUUGACCGCUGUCCAGUGAUCUACUAUUAGAUCAAAAUUGUAUUCCCCUGCCAAACUCAGAGCAAGGUAUACGAUAUGUCUGGUUCACAGCAUAGCAUACUUUAUAGAACCUAUGACUGAGGCAUAGGGAAUGACUUUUCAUUCUCUUUCUAUUUUCUACCAUGGUCAGGUCUUGAGUCUUACUCAAUUUCAACCUUUGCAACACAGGCAAGAACUCUUUCUUUGACCGUUCCAUCUUGAACUAUUUCAAAAUCUUGCCAAGGUAUGUACUCAUUGAAAAUCUUAUCAAGCGUCUUGAUCUAUCUCAAUAGAUCUUGAUGCUCAAUAUGUAAGUAGCUUUUACUGAGGUCUUUUCUUUUUAAAGAACUCCUUUAAAACACUCCUUUAUGCUUUGCAGAAAAAUUCUACAUCAUUUCUGAUCGACAAUAUGUCACUCACAUAUACUAAUCAGAAAGGCUGUAGUGCUCCCACUCACUUUAUUGUAAAUACAGGCUUCAUCGUAAGUCCAUAUAAAACUAUAUGCUUUGAUCAACUUAUCAAAGCGUAUAUUCCAACUUCGAGAUGCUUGCACCAGUCCAUAGAUGGAUCGCUGGAGCUUGCACAUUUUGUUAGCACCUUUAGGAUUGACAAAACCUUCUGGUUGCAUCAUAUACAACUCUUCUUUAAUAAAUCCAUUAAGGACUGCAGUUUUGACAUCCAUUUGCCAGAUUUCAUAAAUGUGGCAAUUGCUAACAUGAUUCAGACAGACUUAAGCAUCGAUACGAGUGAGAAAAUCUCAUCGUAUUCAACACCUUGAACUUGUUGAAAACCUUUCGCAACAAGUCGAGCUUAGUAGAUAGUAACAUUACUAUCAGUGUCCGUCUUCCUCUUGAAGAUCCAUUCAUUUAAUAUGGCUUGCUGAUCAUCGAGCAAGUCAAUCAAAGUCCAUACUUUGUUCUCAUACAUGGAUCAUAUCUCAGAUUUUAUGGCCUCAAGCCAUUUCACGGAAUCUGGGCUCAUCAUCGCUUCCUCAUAGUUCGUAGGUUCAUCAUGGUCUAGUAACAUGACUUCCAGAACAUGAUUACUACACCACUCCGGUGCGGAUCUUACUCCGGUAGACCUACGAGGUUCUGUAGUAACUUGAUCUGAAGUUUCAUGAUCAAUAUCAUUAGCUUCCUCACUAAUUGGUGUAUUUGUCACAGGAACUGAUUUCUGUGAUGAACUACUUUCCAAUAAGGGAGCAGGUACAGUUACCUCAUCAAGUUCUACUUUCCUCCCACUCACUUCUUUCGAGAGAAACUCCUUCUCUAGAAAGGAUCCAUUCUUAGCAACGAAUGUCUUGCCUUCGGAUCUAUGAUAGAAGGUGUACCCAACAGUUUCCUUUGGGUAUUCUAUGAAGACGCACUUCUCCAAUUUGGGUUUGAGCUUAUCAGGAUGAAACUUUUUCACAUAAGCAUCGCAGCCCCAAACUUUAAGAAACGACAACAUGGGUUUCUUGCUAAACCACAGUUCAUAUGGUGUCAUCUCAACGGAUUUAGAUGGUGCCCUUUUAACGUGAAUGCAGCUGUCUCUAAUGCAUAACCCCAAAACAAUAGUGGUAAAUCAGAAAGAGACAUCAUAGAUCGCACCAUAUCCAAUAAAGUGCGGUUACGACGUUCGGACACACCAUAACGUUGUGGUGUUCCAGGUGGCGUGAGCUGUGAAACUAUUCCACAUUGUUUUAAUUGAAGACCAAACUCGUAACUCAAAUAUUCGUCUCCGCGAUCAGAUCGCAAAAACUUUAUUUUCUUGUUACGAUGAUUUUUCCACUUCACUCUGAAAUUCUUUGAACCUUUCAAUUAUUUCAGACUUAUGUUUCAUCAAGUAGAUAUACCCAUAUCUGCUCAAAUCAUCUUGUGAAGGUCAUAAAAUAACGAUACUUGCCACGAGCCUCAACAUUCAUUGGGCCACAAACUUCAGUAUGUAUGAUUUCCAACAAAUCAGUUGCUCGCUCCAUAGUUCCGGAGAACGGCGUUUCAGUCAUCUUGCCCAUAAGGCAUGGUUCGCAAGUACCAAAUGAUUCAUAAUCAAGUGAUUCCAAAAGUCCAUCAGUAUGGAGUUUCUUCAUGCGCUUUACACUGAUAUGACCCAAACGGCAGCGCCACAAAUAAGUUGCACUAUCAUUAUUAACUUUGCAUCUUUUGGCAUCAAUAUUAUGAAUAUGUGUAUCACUACGAUCGAGAUCCAACAAACUAUGUUUAUUGGGUGUAUGACCAUCGAAGGUCUUAUUCAUGUAAACAGAAUAAAAUUUAUUCUCUAACUUUAAAUGAAUAACCGUAUCACAAUAAACAUGAUCAAAUCAUAUUCAUGCUUAACGCAAACGCCAAAUAACAUUUAUUUAGGUUUAACACUAAUCCCGAAAGUAUAGGGAGUGUGCGAUGAUGAUCAUAUCAAUCUUGGAACUACUUCCAACACUCAUCGUCACUUCACCCUCAACUAGUCUCUGUUUAUUCUGUAACUCCUGUUUCGAGUUACUAAUCUUAGCAACCGAACAAGUAUCAAAUACUCAGGGGCUACUAUAAACACUAGUAAGGCACACAUCAAACACCUGUAUAUCAAAUAUACCCUUGUUCACUUUGCCAUCCUUCUUAUCCACCAAAUAUUUAGGGCAUUUCCGCUUCCAGUGACCAUUUCCUUUGCAGUGUAAGCACUCAGUUUUAGGCUUUGGUCCAGCUUUGGUCUUCUUCACGGAAGUGACAACUUGCUUGUCUUUCCACUUGAAGUUCCCUUUCUUUCCCUUUGCCCUUCUCUUGAAACUAGUGGUCUUGUCAAUCAUCAACACUUGAUGCUCUUUCUUGAUUUCUACCUUCGUCGAUUUCAACAUCAUGAAGAGCUUGGGAAUCGUUUACGUCAUCCCUUGCAUACUAUAGUUCAUCACGAAGUUCUAGUAACUUAGUGAUGGUGACUAGAGAAUUCUGUCAAUCACUAUCUUAUCUGGAAGAUUAACUCCCACUUGAUUCAAGCGAUUGAAGUACCCAGACAAUCUAAGUACAUGCUCACUAGUUGAGCGAUUCUCCUCCAUCUUUUAGCUAUAGAACUUGUUGGAGACUUCAUAUCUCUCAACUCGGGUAUUUGCUUGAAAUAUUAACUUCAAUUCCUGGAACAUCUCAUAUGGUCCAUGACGUUCAAAACGUCUUUGAAGUCCCGAUUCUAAGACAUAAAGCAUGGUGCACAAAACUAUCAAGUAGUCAUCAUAUUGAGCUAGCCAAACGUUCAUAACGUCUGCAUCUGCUCCUGCAGUAGGUCUGUCACCUAGCGGUGCAUUAAGGAUAUAAUUUUUCUGUGCAGCAAUGAGGAUAAACCUCAUGUCACGGAUCUAAUCCGCAUCAUUGCUACUAACAUCUUUCAACACAGUUUUCUCUAGGAACAUAUCAAAAUAAACAUAUGAAAGCAACAACGCGAGCUAUUGAUCUACAACAUAAUUUGCAAAAUACUACUAGGACUAAGUUCAUGAUAAAUUAAAGUUCAAUUAAUCAUAUUACUUAAAAACUCCCACUUAGAUAGACAUCCCUCUAAUCCUCUAAGUGAUCACGUGAUCCAAAUCAACUAAACCAUGUCCGAUCAUCACGUGAGAUGGAGUAGUUUCAAUGGUGAACAUCACUAUGUUGAUCAUAUCUACUAUAUGACUCACGCUCAAACUUUCGGUCUCCAUGUUCCGAGGCCAUAUCUGUAUAUGCUAGGCUCGUCAAGUAUAACCUGAGUAUUCCGCGUGUGCAACUGUUUUGCACCCGUUGUAUUUGAACGUAGAGCCUAUCACACCCGAUCAUCACGUGGUGUCUCAACACGAAGAACUUUCGCAACGGUGCAUACUCAGGGAGAACACUUCUUGAUAAUUAGUGAGAGAUCAUCUUAAAAUGCUACCGUCAAACAAAACAGAAUAAGAUGUAUAUCAGAUAAACAUCAUAUGCAAUCAAAAUAUGUGACAUGAUAUGGCCAUGAUCAUCUUGCGCCUUUGAUCUCCAUCUCCAAAGUACUGUCAUGAUCUCUAUCAUCACUGGCAUGACACCAUGAUCUUCAUCAUCUUGAUCUAUAUCAAUGUGUCGUCACAUGGUCGUCUCGCCAACUAUUGCUCUUGCAACUAUUGCUAUCGCAUAGCGAUAAAGUAAAGCAAUUAUUUGGCACUUGCAUCUUAUGCAACAAAGAGACAACCAUAGGGCUUCUGCCAGUUGCCGGUAACUUCAACAAAACAUGAUCAUCUCAUACAACAACUUAUAUCUCAUCACGUCUUGACCAUAUCACAUCACAACAUGCCCUGCAAAAACAAGUUAGACGUCCUCUACUUUGUUGUUGCAAGUUUUACGUGGCUGCUACGGGCUGAGCAAGAACCGUUCUUACCUACGCAUCAAAAACACAACGAUAGUUUGUCAAAUAGACUCCAUUUUAACCUUCGCAAGGACCGGGCGUAGCCACACUCGGUUCAACUAAAGUUGGAGAAACUGACACCCGCCAGCCACCUAUGUGCGAAGCACGUCCGUAGAACCAGUCUCGCGUAAGCGUACGCGUAAUAUCGGUCCGAGCCGCUUAAUCCAACAAUACCGCCGAACCAAAGUAUGACAUGCUGGUAGGCAAUAUGACUUAUAUCGUCCACAACUCACUUGUGUUCUACUCGUGCAUAUAACAUCAAACCAUAAAAACCUAGGCUCGGAUGCCACUGUUGGGGAACGUAGUAAUUUCGAAAAUUUUCCUACGCACACGCAAGAUCAUGGUGAUGGCAUAGCAACGAGAGGGGAGAGUGUUGUCCACGUACCCUCGUAGACCGUAAGCGGAAGCGUUAUGACAACGCGGUUGAUGUAGUCGUAUGUCUUCACGAUCCGACCGAUCCAAGUACCGAACGUACGGCACCUCCGAGUUUAGCACACGUUCAGCUCGAUGACGAUCCCUGGGCUCCGAUCCAGCAAAGCUUCGGGGAUGAGUUCCGUCAGCACGACGGCGUGGUGACGAUGAUGAUGUACUAUCGACGCAGGGCUUCGCCUAAACUCCGCGACGAUAUGACCGAGGUGGAAUAUGGUGGAGGGGGGCACCGCACACGGCUAAGGAACGAUCCGUAGAUCAACUUGUGUGUCAUGGGGUGCCCCCUGCCCCCGUAUAUAAAGGAGCAAGGGGGAGGGGGCGCGCCAUGGGGAGUCCUACUCCCACCGGGAGUAGGACUCCCUCCUUCCUUGUUGGAGUAGGAGAAGGGGGAAAGAGGGGGAGAGGAGGAAGGAAAAGGGGGCCGCACCCCUUGUCCAAUUCAGACCAGAGGGGGGCUGCGCGCCUCCUUCCUUUCGGCCUCUCUCCUCUAAUCCCGUAUGGCCCAAUAAGGCCCAUAUACUCCCCGGCGAAUUCCCGUAACUCUCCGGUACUCCGGAAAAUACCCGAAUCACUCGGAACCUUUCCGAACUCCGAAUAUAGUCGUCCAAUAUAUCGAUCUUUACGUCUCGACCAUUUCGAGACUUCUCGUCAUGUCCCCGAUCUCAUCCGGGACUCCAAACUCCUUCGGUACAUCAAAACUCAUAAACUCAUAAUAUAACUGUCAUCGAAACCUUAAGCAUGCGGACCCUACGGGUUCGAGAACUAUGUAGACAUGACCUAGAACUAUUCUUGGUCAAUAACCAAUAGCGGGACCUGGAUGCCCAUAUUGGCUCCUACAUAUUUUACGAAGAUCUUUAUCGGUCAAACCGCAUAACAACAUACGUUGUUCCCUUUGUCAUCGGUAUGUUACUUGCCCGAGAUUCGAUCGUCGGUAUCCAAUACCUAGCUCAAUCUCGUCACCGGCAAGUCUCUUUACUCGUUACGUAAUGCAUCAUCCCGUAGCCAACUCAUUGGUCACAUUGCUUGCAAGGCUUAUAGUGAUGUGCAUUACCGAGAGGGCCCAGAGAUACCUCUACGACAAUCGGAGUGACAAAACCUAAUCUCGAAAUACGCCAACUCAACAUGUACCUUCGGAGACACCUGUAGUACUCCUUUAUAAUCACCCAGUUACGUUGUGAUGUUUGGUAGUACCCAAAGUGUUCCUCCGGUAAACGGGAGUUGCAUAAUCUCAUAGUUACAGGAACAUGUAUAAGUCAUGAAGAAAGCAAUAGCAACAUACUAAACGAUCAAGUGCUAGGCUAACGGAAUGGGUCAAGUCAAUCACAUCAUUCUCCUAAUGAUAUGAUCCCGUUAAUCAAAUGACAACUCAUGUCUAUGGUGAGGAAACAUAACCAUCUUUGAUCAACGAGCUAGUCAAGUAGAGGCAUACUAGUGACACUCUGUUUGUCUAUGUAUUCACACAUGUAUUAUGUUUCCGGUUAAUACAAUUCUAGCAUGAAUAAUAAACAUUUAUCAUGAAAUAAGGAAAUAAAUAAUAACUUUGUUAUUGCCUCUAGGGCAUAUUUACUUCAGUUCGGAGUCCCGGAUAUGAUCACGGACAUGACGAGGAGGCUCGAAAUGGUCGAGACAUAAAGAUUGAUAUAUUGGAAGCCUAUAUUUGGACUUCGGAAUGGUUCCGGGUGAAAUCAGGAUUUUACCGGAACACCGGGGGGUUACCGGAACCCUCCCGGGGGUUAAUGGGCCUUAGUGGGCCAUGAGGGAGAAGAGGAGGGCCGGCCAGGGCAGGCCGCGCCCCCCUCCCCCCAUAGUCCGAAUAGGACAAGGAGAGGGGGGGGGGGGCGGCGCCCCCCUUCCUCUUUCCCUCCCCCCAAGUCCUAGUCCAUCUAGGGAAAGGGGGGGAGUCCUACUCCCGGUGGGAGUAGGACUCCUCCGGCGCGCCUCCCCUAGGGCCGGCCGCACCUCCCCCUUGCUCCUUUAUAUACGGGGGCAGGGGGGCACCCCAAAGACACACAAGUUGAUCUACGGAUCGUUCCUUAGCCGUGUGCGGUGCCCCCCUCCACCAUAUUCCACCUCGGUCAUAUCAUCGCGGAGUUUAGGCGAAGCCCUGCGUCGGUAGAACAUCAUCAUCGUCACCACGCCGUCGUGCUAACGGAGCUCAUCCCCGACGCUUUGCUGGAUUGGAGCCCGGGGAACGUCAUCGAGCUGAACGUGUGCUGAACACGAAGGUGCCGUACGUUCGGUGCUUGGAUCGGUCGGAUCAUGAAGACAUACGACUACAUCAACCGCGUUGUCAUAAUGCUUCCGCUUACGGUCUAUGAGGGUAUGUGGACAACACUCUCCCCUCUCGUUGCUAUGUCAUCACCAUGAUCUUGCGUGUGCGUAGGAAAUUUUUUAAAUUACUACGUUCCCCAACAGUGGCAUCCGAGCCAGGUUUUAUGCGUUGAUGUUAUAUGCACGAGUAGAACACAAGUGAGUUGUGGGCGAUACAAGUCAUACUGCUUACCAGCAUGUCAUACUUUGGUUCGGCGGUAUUGUUGGAUGAAGCGGCCCGGACCGACAUUACGCGUACGCUUACGCGAGACUGGUUCUACCGACGUGCUUUGCACACAGGUGGCUGGCGGGUGUCAGUUUCUCCAACUUUAGUUGAACCGAGUGUGGCUACGCCCGGUCCUUGCGAAGGUUAAAACAGCACUAACUUGACGAACUAUCAUUUUGUUUUUGAUGCGUAGGUAAGAACGUGUCGGUGUACUGAGGUAGGGGUACCUUAGUACUCCGAACUUGUGCACGGGCAGUCGUAGCACCCCGCGGCAAGGCUUGCCGGACGCCCGUCGAGACCCUCCUCCACUUCAUAUUACUGCCAUUCAAGAACAAAGUAUCAGCUAAGAAGACAAGGCCCCGGCAAGAGGAGCUUGCCGGGAAGGACAAGACCCCAGCGAAAGAAACCCGCCAAGGAGAACAAAAGACCCCGGCAAGAGGAGCUUGCCGGGAAGGCCAACCAAGGCCCUUCAGAAGACUUGCCGUGACGCCCCGCGCGUCCCGGCAAGGCAGGACGACCGACAAGCUUGCCGCGCGACAAGAGAAGAGCCACGGCAAGACGCUUGCCGCGGCAAGGCUGCCACCAUGCACCCAACCUCCAGCACAUCCGGCGACGUGUCACGCCAAGACCAUCCCAGAAGCACAUGGCGAAGCGCUGCGCAGCCAUGCAGGGCGAGGUGGCAAGCGAAGCUGACAAGGAGGCCAUUGUGGCGAUCGAUGGCGCCCCCAACGGUCGCCUCCCUGCACUGUUGGGGCGACCAGACGGGCAUUAAAUGCCCUUGUCCCCUGCCGUCAGAGUUAGGUAGGGGACACUAUUGAGCACUGUUGUACCAACCCGCGUUUUUACCUUUCUGCCCCUCUUCCUACGCUGCCACCUGUGGGUAACCCCCUUAGGCUAUAAAAGGGAGGCCCAUGCGCACGUAGAAGGGGUUCGGCUGGUUCGAUGCACUCGUCACCAUCCUACGCUCGAGCUCUCGAGCAAGAACUAAUACGAACACAAGGCAGCAGUAGGAGUUUUAUCUCUCCGGAGAGCUCCGAAGCUGGGUAAAACCCCCCGCGUGCCGUCGCCUCGAUCUGCUCUGCGUGCGCCCUCCGCCUCCUCACCGUACCAAAAAGGGGCUCCUGCCCCAUAGGUGCUCGUGGCCACAGCGUGCCCCGACAUCUUUGGCGCGCCAGGUAGGGGGCACGCGGCGUCAAGGUCGUGCGCGGAGGAGGAAGAACUCCGCCCGCAGCGCCUCGAGCUCCAACGCCUCGGUCGAUUUCGCGGCCUUCAUAGCCUCCCUGGUUUUUGGAGCCACGACGGAAGCGGCGAAGGAAGGCGAAGACGACGGCGACGACAGGCUGCGGAGCGCUGCUCCCUUUCGACUUGGGAAGCGGAGGGGAGCGGCGUAGCUUUCGGAGGAAAGAACUGCAAGCAGCAAAGGUGGGGGAACGGCCCUGUUCCACGGUGUCGAGUAGCUCUGAUGCCCACUCCGGUAGGCGCACCUCUUCGGUGUGCUGCGCUACCGUCGAGGACGCAUCAUCGAGCUCCACCGGCAAGUGCAAGGAAGAUGCACUUAUCUGCACCAACAAGAUUCACCGGGAAGCAACAGCCGCAGCAGAGCGCAAGCCACUUGCCGCUGAAGCUCCUCGGGGGAAGAGGAAAGCCAAGUCCGGCGAGCGCAGCUCUGAUGCCCACUCCGGCAACCGCACCUCUUCGGAGUGCUGCGCCGCCGUCGAGGACGCACCAUCGAGCUCCACCGGCAAGUGCAAGAAGGCGAAAACAGCUUUACAAGAGACCGUGUCCGACAAGCGCAGCUCUGACGCCCACUCCGGCAAGUGCGCCUCUUCAGAGGGCUGCGCUGCCGUCGAGGACGCACCAUCGAGCUAAAAGCGCGGUCGUUCUUGUAUUUUUAGGUUAUGUUCCUUGAACGACCGUGCCUUGUUGCCUUGUAUGAAAAGCCUGUGCGCGGGAGGGAUCGACUCGUGGCGAAGUUGCCCCUUGAUUUAUUUUCGAGCCCCGCUCAACAAUACAAGUGCGCUGCAACUAGCCCCGACAAGGUUUCUUGCCGGAGGCAGCACCGCCAGCGGGCUGCUGACGUUCCGCACUCGGCAAGCGUGCUCGCGCCGGCAAGUUCCCCCAGAGCGUAGGGCGGAAUCAUGCAAGGCGUGGGGUCAAGUAAAGGGCAUGACAGUGCAGGUGGCAUCGUUCCAAGAAGCGCAGCCUUGCCGGGACACAGAAGACAGAAAAGCUAAGUUGCCCACAUUUGAGCGCAAAACCCAGCCAGUUUUUAAUUCCUAUGUUAUAUUCCUUGAACUGCCGCGCUUUGUAUGGAAAACCUGUGCGCGGAGGAACCGGCUCGCGGCUAAGUUGUGCCCUUGUUUUGUUUUCGAGCCCGCUCAACAAUACAAGUGCGCUGCAACUAGCCCGACGAGGUUUCUUGCCGGAGACAGCACCGCCAGCGGGCUGCUGAUGUUCCGCACUCAGCAAGUGUGUUUAUGCCGGCAAGUUCCCUAAAAGCAUGGGGUAGAGACAUACAAAGCGACAGAAUACAGGAUAUAACAUGGCAAUCGUUGCCUUAGAGCGCAAUCAGUUUUAUAUUUUUAAGGUUAUGUUCCUCGAACGAAUCGUGCCUUGUAUGAAAAACCUGUGCGCGGUGGAACCGACUCGUGGCGAAAUUUCCCCUUGAUUUGUUUUCGAGCCCCGCUCAACAAUACAAGUGUGCUGCAACUAGCCCCGACAAGGUUUCUUGCCGGAGGCAGCACCGCCAGCGGGCUGCUGAUGUUCCGCACUCGGCAAGCGUGCUCGCGCCGGCAAGUUCUCUCAAAGCGUAGGGUAAAAUCAUGCAAGGCAUGGGUUCAAGUAAAGGGCAUGACAUAGCAAGUUUUGCUUAAAAUUGAAGUUAUAUAUUACGGUAAAUAACUUGCCGCGCCCUAAGAGAUUGUUCCUGUGACACACCUAGCAGCGGCGAGGACAAGAGAAGAAAGGUGCGCCGGCACCUGGGCCCCGACAAGCCUACGUUGCUGGGGGCUGCAAGUACCAAGACUCAUCUCCGGCAAGCCAGAGUUGUCGGGGGCUGCGAAAUCAGAUAAGUUUUUCAUCCCUCGUCAUGCAUCCUUUUAUGGACUGAGGAGCGCGAAGUUAUAUUCCUUGAACGUCUGUGCUUUGUGUGAAAAGCCUGUGCGCGGAGGAUCCGACUCGUGGCGAAGUUGCCCCUUGAUUUGUUUCCGAGCCCCGCUCAACAAUACAAGUGUGCUGCAACCAGCCCCGACAAGGUUUCUUGCCGGAGGCAGCACCGCCAGCGGGCUGCUGAUGUUCCGCACUUGGCAAGCGUGUUCGCGCCGGCAAGUCCCCUUAAAGCGUAGGGUAAAAACAUACAAGGCACAGAAACAAGUAAAGGAUAUAACGUAGCAAGCCUCCCCUUUUUCAUUAAAAAGCAUCCCAUUUGGGUACAGUCCAUAGAGGAUGAAAAACAUGAAAGAGAGGAUUACAAGCUUUAAAUGCAACUAAGGCCCGAGGGCUUACAGAUUAAAAAGAUAAGAUGCCCGUAAUCUUUUCUCAUGUCCCUCUCUUCAGGAGGUAGGUCAAGGAGGCAGAAAGGGCGAAAGGAGCGCCUAGGCGAACUACGGGUGCCAGAAGACACCAAGAGAACAUCCCGGGGUCAACCGGGGGCUUGACGGUGGUGGUGGUGCCGGAAGACAGGGCAGAGGGACGUCAGCACGCUGUCGAGGGCACCUCGCCCUCGUACUCCGACUUGACGGCCUCGCCGCCAACCCUCUCCCUCUUCUGCAGCCUCCCUAUGUCAGCCGCCCCAGGAGACGACCCCGGGGAGUUCAGGGAGCCGGCGACGCACGAGGCGGCGCCCGACACCUAGUCGGACCCGUCAUCCCGUCGCCCGCUUCCCUCGUCGUCGCUGUCGCUCCCCUCCUCGUCACUCUCGCUUGACGGGGAGUCUUUGCUGUCGGAGGAGCUAUCCACGCAGCACCUCGCCCGGAUGCCGGAGUCCCCGAAGACCUUGACGGAGAGAAGAUCACCCUCCAUUAACUUAAAAUGGAGGGUGAACCCCGCCAUCAAGUUGUGGAUGCGGGCGAACGUCUUCCACCCUCGGUCAAGGUACAUCACACUGGGGGCUGGGAAUACAACAUGGACUCGCGUACCACUGAUUCCGCAGCCCCUCAUGUGCAACCUCAACGUAUUGGGUGACUCCGACUCCAUCACACUUGCGAAUGGAGCCGGGAGCCGGAGGCGACGAUGAGGAGCCCGACUAAGCCUGACGAAGAACUCGCAAGGGUCGUCUCCAGUGUGGACCGCCGCAAGGGGGGAUCCACCGGCGGAGGCGGAGAUGACGCACCGCCCCGUCCGCCUCUUCCACGAGUGCCUCGGCCUCGACCUCGGCCCCGUCCACGACCUCGCCCUCUUCCUCUCCCCCUUGCGGCAGACUCUGCCACUGCGGGAGUGGGAUAGGGAGAAGCGCGCUGCUUGGCAGCGACCCUUGCCGCCACCGUUGAAGGACCAGGAUUCCCUUUCUCCAUGGCGGAUGGGAGGAAGGGAAGAAGAAGAUGAAGGAAGAAGAAGAUGGGGAAGUGCGGGUUCCUGCGCUCUCCCCUCGCCCUUCUUAAAGGGGCGAGGUGGGGGCUCGGCCGCCCCGCUCGACGAAUCAGAGCACAGGGAGGCCAGGGAAUCAGAGUCGACCCGCUGCCUCCGCCCGUGACGGCUCGGUUUUCGCCACCGCCGCCCACGACCCCACGUGCAUGGGAGCCGCGUGGCGAAGGUGCGGAGCUGAGACGACAGGUGAGAUAGAUGCGCCCCGCCCCGUGAUCACAGGGGUGGGCGCCUCAAAAAUCACGCACACCGCCCCCGCUUCCCACAACGCCGCAAUUUACGCGUGCCGUUGCGGGAAAGUGCGGUGGAUCCGGAGUAGGGUUCGUCUGGCCCAGGCCACGCGCACCCGUGCACUGUUUUGGGCCUGGCCCAACAGCGCUCGGCACCGUGUAUGGCCCAGGCCCGGGGGCUCCUGUCGGUGUACUGAGGUAGGGGUACCUUAGUACCCCGAACUUGUGCACGGGCAGUUGUAGCACCCCGCGGCAAGGCUUGCCGGACGCCCAUCGAGAACCUCUGCCACUUCAUAUUACUGCCAUUCAAGAACAAAGUAUCAGCUAAGAAGACAAGGCCCCGGCAAGAGGAGCUUGCCGGGAAGGACAAGACCCCAGCGAAAGAAACCCGCCAAGGAGAACAAAAGACCCCGGCAAGAGGAGCUUGCCGGGAAGGCCAACCAAGGCCCUUCAGAAGACUUGUCGCGACGCCCCGCGCGUCCCGGCAAGGCAGGACGACCGACAAGCUUGCCGGCGCGACAAGAGAAGAGCCACGGCAAGACGCUUGCCGCGGCAAGGCUGCCACCAUGCACCCAAGCUCUAGCACAUCCGGCGACGUGUCACGCCAAGACCAUCCCAGAAGCACGUGGCGAAGCGCUGCGUAGCCAUGCAGGGCGAGGUGGCAAGCGAAGCUGACAAGGAGGCCAUCGUGGCGAUCGGUGGCGCCCCCAACGGUCGCCUCCCUGCACUGUUGGGGCGACCAGACGAGCAUUAAAUGCCCUUGUCCCCUGCCGUCAGAGUUAGGUAGGGGACACUGUUGAGCACUGUUGUACCAACCCGCGUUUUUACCUUUCUGCCCCUCUUCCUACGCUGCCACCUGUGGGUAACCCCCUUAGGCUAUAAAAGGGAGGCCCAUGCGCACGUAGAAGGGGUUCGGCUGGUUCAACGCACUCGUCACCAUCCUACGCUCGAGCUCUCGAGCAAGAACUAAUACAAACACAAGGCAGCAGUAGGAGUUUUAUCUCUCCGGAGAGCUCCGAAGCUGGGUAAAACCCCCCGCAUGCCGUUGCCUCGAUCUGCUCUGCGUGCGCCCUCCGCCUCGUCACCGUACCAAAAAGGGGCUCCUACCCCAUAGGUGCUCGUGGGCAGGAGCCCCUUUUUGGUACGGUGAGGAGGCGGAGGGCGCACGCAGAGCAGAUCGAGGCGACGACACGCGGGGGGUUUUACCCAGCUUCGGAGCUCUCCGGAGAGAUAAGACUCCUACUGCUGCCUUGUGUUCGUAUUAGUUCUUGCUCGAGAGCUCGAGCGUAGGACGGUGACAAGUGCGUCGAACCAGCCGAACCCCUUCUACGUGCGCAUGGGCCUCCCUUUCAUAGCCUAAGGGGGUUACCGACAGGUGGCAGCAUAGGAAGAGGGGCAGAAAGGUAAAAACGCGGGUUGGUACAACAGUGCUCAACAGUGUCCCCUACCUAACUCUGACGGCAGGGGACAAGGGCAUUUAAUGCCCGUCUGGUCGCCCCAAUAGUGCAGGGAGGCGACCGUUGGGGGCGCCACCGAUCGCCACGAUGGCCUCCUUGUUAGCUUUGCUUGCCACCUCGCCCUGCAUGGCUGCGCAGCGCUUCGCCACGUGCUUCUGGGAUGGUCUUGGCGUGACACGUUGCCGGAUGUGCUGGAACUUGGGUGCAUGGUGGCAGCCUUGCCGCGGCAAGCGUCUUGCCGUGGAUCUUCUCUUGUCGCACCGGCAAGCUUGUCGGUCAUCCUGCCUUGCCGGGACGCGCGGGGCGUCGCGGCAAGUCUUCUGAAGGGCCUUGGUUGGCCUUCCCGGCAAGCUCCUCUUGCCGGGGUCUUUUGUUCUCCUUGGCGGGUUUCUUUCGCUGGGGUCUUGUCCUUCCCGGCAAGCUCCUCUUGCCGGGGCCUUGUCUUCUUAGCUGAUACUUUGUUCUUGAAUGGCAGUAAUAUGAAGUGGCGGAGGGUCUCGAUGGGCGUCCGGCAAGCCUUGCCGCGGGGUGCUACGACUGCCAGUGCACAAGUUUGGGGUACUAAGGUACCCCUACCUCAGUACACCGAAAGGAGCCCCCGGGCCUGGGCCAUACACGGUGCCGAGCGCUGUUGGGCCAGGCCCAAAACAGUGCACUGGUGCGCGUGGCCUGGGCCAGACGAACCCUACUCCGGAUCCACCGCACUUUCCCGCAACGGCACGCGUCGAUUGCGGCGUUGUGGGAAGCGGGGGCAGUGUGCGCGAUUUUUGAGGCGCCCACCCCUGUGAUCACGGGGUGGGGCGCAUCUAUCUCACCUGUCGUCUCAGCUCCGCACCUUCGCCACGUGGCUCCCAUGCGCAUGGGGUCAUGGGCGGCGGUGGCGAAAACCGAGCUGUCACGGGCGGAGGCAGCGGGUCGACUCCGAUUCCCUGGCCUCCCUGUGCUCCUUCAGGAACUCGCAUCGUCACCCGGUCCAAAGACAAGGCCCCGCAAGGUUCCUCGUCUGCGCAUCGACCGCACCCCUCCCAGGAGGUGCAAGCUCGACAACGCCACGGUGCUCCUAGCACCGUGCUCGCAUUGGAACAAGGCCAAGCUAGUGGGUCGCGGGACAUUCAAGGCCAACAUGCGCCCCAACACGCUGGCACGAGCGUGGUACGGUCGCCCGGUCGAGAUGCUGCUCCUUCUAACACCGUUAGAAGUUUGAGCAUGUCUCGCACCUCGCGCUGCUCGCCAUCACCACCCAAGACUCCAGAGGAAGCGCUGGCCCGAGCCCAGCUGCUCCUGGAUUACCCUCCAGCGCCCGACAAGAUCGACGACUGGAGAGCAACCAUUCACAGUCUCAUCGGCUUUGCCAACGGCGACAAGCCACGGCAGCCGAGCACGUCGAAGCCCCGGCAAGAUGCCCAGGCGCAAGCCGACGCUGACAAGACUGCUGGGGGUGCCACCACCGUGCGCUCCCAGCCCCGAAGGCCAAGAUCAUUGGCUCGCCGGGCCAGCCUUGACGCUGACUCCACCGCGUCAUCGGACCCACGAACUCGCCGUGAUCAACGCCAAGUUCUUCAAGAACGACAGCACGAAGACGCUCGUACUCGCAUCGAGCGCAGAAGGGAAGCGCGGCGUCAAUCCGACCAGCGCGCUGGGCCAUCUGUCGAUGUGCAAGUGCUAGGGGAACCCGGCGACCUGCCGUACGCGGCAGGUUGCCCUGCGUUCACCCGUGAGCUGCGGCAAGUCCAGUGGCCCAGAACCAAGAAUUUCAAGCCAGACGUGCCCGAGAAGUACGAUGGCAGGAUACAUCCAUCAGAGUUCCUCAGCGUCUACACCAUCACGGUGCAGGCUGCCGGGGGACGCGACGAGAAGAUCCUUGCCGACUAAUUCCCGCUGGUGCUCAAGCCCAACGUCAGAUCUUGGCUCAUGCACUUACCGGAUGGCUCCAUCUCUUCGUGGGCAGACCUGUGUCAUCAGUUUGUCGGCGCCUUCACAGGCAGCCACAAACCCCAUGGCCAAGAGAGUGAUCUACAUCUGCUCGUCCAAAAGGAGGGAGAGCCCCUGCGUAAGUACAUAUAGAGAUUCAGCCAGGUGCAACGCAACAUCCCAGACGUCCACCCUGCCGCGGUUAUCAGCGCGUUCCAUCAGAACGUGCGUAACCGCAGGAUGAGGGAGGAGAUGGCGAUGUGCAAGAUCAAAGACGUCAGCGAGCUAUAUGCUCUAGCCGACAAGUGUGCAGGAGCUGAGGAGGGGAGGAAAAUCCCCGGAGAGAUUGCAGGAGCUGAGGGAUCUGACAGUGAGGAUGCCGCCCCGGCAAGGAAGAACCAGAGGCGGAGCAACAGAAAAAGAAAA